GUUGGGGGAGUCGGUUGGGAAAAGGGGGGCCGAUGCAGGGAUCACGAUGGCGAUCGACGACGCCGACAAGCUAGGAACUGGAGGAGACGCAUAUCCGGGUUGCCGGGCCCGAAGCCAUCAGGACACUGGAAAAUGUAGGUCGAGGGGCGCUGGGUCCGGAGCUACACCAGCGAGGGUUCCAGCGCAAAGGCAUGAGCACCCGUAGAACACCAGCAGGCACGCCGCAAGGGCUGACCAGCGCUGGGGAGGCACCACCGGAAGCACAUCAAAAAGCCGCAUCUUGAAGCCAUGGUCGCGGCUUAGAUGGAGAAGAGCGCCGUCGCGGCGCCUCAAGGACGGCCUGAGACCAGCAGAGGAGCACGCCAACCCCAAUCUCGGGUCCAGCGCCGUUAGUGGAGAGGAAGCCAGCGACAGGACAAACAGAUCUGACGCAGAGAUGGGGGGAGGCGAACGCACCUCGCCGGCGGCAAGAGUUCGCAGCGGGCGGUGGCAGGGAGGGCGGGGGAGGGCAGGGGCGAAGGAUGUCGCCGAGGACGUGCUGGCGGACGGAGCGGCCAGCGGAGGGCGGCAGGCGAGGGCGGGGGCGAAGGAUGUCGCUGAGGACGCGCUGGCGGAUGAAGCGGCAAGCGGCGGGCGGCACGAGGGCGGUUGGCCGGCAGGGGGCGAAGCUUGACGAGGCGCCCCGCCGCCACUAUCCUGGGAGCCGGCACAGGCUUUACCAGCCGCUCCUCCGGUGGCGGCGAGUUGCUGCGGUUCUGGGAAGGGGUUGCGGUGGUAAGGGCUAGGGUUCCCCGCCGCCGCCAGGGAGUGCGACGCGGGGGACGUGAGAGGGGGCGGGGUCUCUGUGGUGUCGGAGUGGUUACUAAGUUAUAUGAGUGAGGAUGAGGGCAGAAGGGGGAUUCUAAGCCGGAUACAAUAGCGUGUGGGGAAAAAAUGGAUAGGUUAGAUGUGAUUUUUGUGUUAAACCCUCAAAUAUAUAUGCCCCCCCCCCCCCUAGCAAUGCACGACACCAGCACUGGCAGUGACCAGUGUCGGAGGAUGGGCCGUGGGUACAAAAGGAGGAAGACAAAGACGAGGAAGAAGAUGGCGAUCAUAGAAUUUUACCACCGAAAAAAAGUGCUUACUUGCUCUCAUUGUAUCCACUAAAGAAAUUGAUAAAGAAAUGAUAUAUAUUUGAAGGAUUUCACUCGAUUCAUUUAGUCAUCAGUUUGAUUAUUUUUCAUGUAUUUCGCCCGUAGCAACGCACGGGCAUUCUACUAGUAAAGAUAAAGAAAGAGCACCAAGUUGUUUGUUCAUGGUUCGAUAAAUACCAAUCAACCUGAUAUUUUUUAUGGCUGUUCUACACUAACGUGUCCUGCUAUAUAUUUUUGUUUCAGAAAUUUCGAUCCGCAUAUAAUAAAAGGUCAUCCACACCUUGCUGCCCUGCCAAUAGGAUGACCACUAAUUUGUUUCAGAGUGAGAACUCCUCCUUUUGCGGGCCAAAAUAGUUCUUCCGCAUUGCUUGCUUCUGCAUAAUCACCUACCCACCUGUGUCGGUUUCGGGUACAGGUACCCUUUUGUUGAAGGCCAUUCAAGCUUUUCCUGGGAGUAUGACAUUGGUUACAUACUUAAGCACCGUAGCGUCUGGUAUGAGCCUCAUGGAGAAGCAAUCCCUAGUUCACUGGGCUCAUACUUCAGUGUUGCAGCGCUCGGUACUCGGACCUCGGUUCGAGGCAUUUUCUCUACCCCUUUUUACCCUGAAAAAGCAGGGUCACCUUGUGCAGUGUAACCAUUACAAGCAACUAUACAUGCAUCUUCAGAGAAAUACUCCUCCUGUAGGCUGCAGCAUAUGCGAAAUCAGCCUUUCACAGAAGGAAGUAAUACAACUUGAACUUGUUGAGAAACUUUGCUGUACUAUGCAGUUUGGAGCCCUGCACAAGGAUGUUAUGAUAGUAGGCUGGUCAUUUGGGUGUGUACUACUAUGUCAUGUCAUCAUUGUAAUCAACUUAAAUUAGCCAAACUUGUUGAGUAGCCAAGAGUAGUACCGGUGAGCUUGUUGAAGAGGAGGAGGCCAAGGGCGAGAUUGCUGAGUGUACCUCUUUUAGAAGCACUGGACAAUGCAUUCACCAAGCUAUCCAUGUCUUAUUUGAUGUAGGUUUCCUUGUGUUUCAUCAUCGAUGCGGCCAUCUUACAGGUAACCUUCAUCACUCUCAGGCUAUGAGCCGUCAGAACAUUGCUUUCUUCUACCAUCUCCUUGAGCUUCUUUGGAAGGCUACCUGCGUGAAACUUACAUGGCAAAUCUUGAAAACACAUAUGAAUGUGUCACAUACCGUCACACUCAUCGUCCUCCACAUGAAGAUCCUCUUUGUUCUCCUUGUAUUCAGGAUGAGUGGAAGAAGAGAUUUUAUCCUGCGCAUGGUANNNNNNNNNNNNNNNNNNNNNNNNNNNNNNNNNNNNNNNNNNNNNNNNNNNNNNNNNNNNNNNNNNNNNNNNNNNNNNNNNNNNNNNNNNNNNNNNNNNNNNNNNNNNNNNNNNNNNNNNNNNNNNNNNNNNNNNNNNNNNNNNNNNNNNNNNUAUUCAAUAGUUAUUUAUACUUUACUACAUGUAUCUUAUAAUUAUAAUUUGCAUCAUAUAAUCACAUAUAGAUGAUGUAUUAAGGCAUUAGUACCUUGGUCCUGGUUUACAGGUCCGGUAGGCAGCGUGGGCGCGUAUGUGUUUACAAGGCCGCUGCCUCGGUUGUGCUGUGAAAAGCAAAAAGGUGAACUCCUCAAGUGGCCCAUGUCUGUACAUCUCCCAACGCUCAACUAAUCCCCAACCUUCAGUUACCAGAUGUGGGCUGGUGCAUGCGAGAGGGAGCUAGCUGAUUGGGUGACGUUGUCCACACCAGAUCAAGGGAGAGAGAAAGUGCUAUUUCUCCGGGUCUACAUCUGCAAUACUCAUAUUUCAACCCCAGUUUGGGUUAGUGAUAUACUCCCACCGUCCCAUAAUAUAAGAACAUUUUUCGAGUUGAGGACUGAGGGAGUAGUAUUUUUAAUGUUGAUGUACCGAAGUGUUGUCCCUAUGCAAUAACCUCAUUAGAAUAAGCCAGGUCGUGCACAAGCAGUAGGAAAUAAUCAAGAAACCAGAACCCUCAGAAGUAGUGUAGUAGCAUAUAUUGUGCCAAUUGUGCUCCGGUAGACAAUUACUGACAAUGGAGUCUUUUUCUUUUUUGAGGAAAUACAAACACUGGAGUCUAAUACUACACUACCGGCUGGCUAAGACAUAGAUGAGUGUCUCAUCACUGAUUAGUGUCUGAUAUCACCAAGGUUCUAGGUCAGAGACCGGUCCCGGCACUUAUAUUACAUGGGAGCGACUGGAACCAGGUGACUGAGGACACCUAGUUCUCCAUGCGGAUGAUGCAGCGAAUGCCCUUGCCCUUGGCCACGAGGUCAAAGGCCUUGUUGAUCUCCGAGAACGGUACGCUGUGCGUGAUGAAGUUUUCCACCUCCAGUUCCUGAUGACAAUAGCAAGUUGUUAGCAUGAGCAUUGAGUUCUUCACAAUGUCGCAUUUCGAUGUAUGAUGACUUUGGAAAUGGGGUGGCAUCCAAAAUAUCUCAAGUCUUCGCGAGCAUUGACCAAGCUAUGUCAAAACUUAUUUUUUUUUCGGGGAAGCUAUGUCAAAACUGUCUACCUUCUUCACGUACAUCUCUACAAAAUUGGGCAGAUCAGUGCACGGCUUGAAGUUGCCGAAGAAGGCCCCCUUUAGAGUCCUCUCGUUCAGGAAGUUCAUUGGGUGGGUCUUGAAUUCGGCGUCCUUGUGUGGCACAUCGACCAGCACAGCGACACCCCAGCCCUGUAUAUAGAUAAAAAUAUUGAAUUUAAUGAUUCCAUCUAAGAGAGAAGAGACGAUGCAAAUGACCAUGUUUUAAGUGAAUGAUUGAUGUCUUGAAAAGCCAUACAUCAUAUGAUCACAUUCAAAUGCUUGUAUCAUAGCACUGAUAUUGCCGGUGCAUUCAACACUACGGUCGACUCCGCCGUUUGUCAUCUCAGCGAGUACCUAAAGAGUCAUCAUAAAGUAGUAUGUUAUGAUCAUUAUUAAGCAUAACAAAUACUACUUCGCAUGAUGUGAGUAAACGAACCUCUUGAACUGGCUUGCUGUGGUCUUUCGGGUUCACCAAUUCCGUGCAGCCAAAUUUUCUUCCGGAACAUGGACAAAAUAUAAAUCAUUAGUAGUAACUAGUAACUUCUCAAAACAACAAAAUAAACCCAUGACUUGUUCUAGGCAAGAACUCGUAAACUAAGCAUGCAAAACAGAAUGGUCAUAUAUAUGAUCAUGCAGCCUACUCGUCACAUCAUGAAACACACAUGAUAAGCAGUUGUUGGAUGGUCUGCUCAAUACAUAUCCCAUGCUCACAUUUUGUUACUCCGUCCGAAAAUACUUGUCAUCAAAAUAGACAAAAAGGGGUGUAUCUAAAACUAAAAUGCAUCUAGAUACAUCCCCUUUUAUUCAUUUUGAUGACAAGUAUUUCCGGACGGAGGGAGUAAGAGCUAACAAAAACUAGUGGUGUGUAGAAGGCAAGAUAUAUAUAUCCUUGCCUUUAGGAUGUCAAAGGGAGCCUGAUAUGAGUUCAAACUUGGGUGCCCCUUUAUCCAGCCUUCAAGAAGAUCUGAAAUAUUAGAGAAAAACAAAAAGAGCACGUUAGCAAUCACAGAGAGAAGCUGAAGGUGUGAAUGGAUGGAUUCGUCGUGUUCAACUAUGAGUCCUGUACCGAGUUGUUCGACGAGACGCGGAAGGUGAAACUUGUAGGCGCAGUGUGAGUUGGAAUUAUGUGCUAUGAAGAAGGGUCAAUGAGUAUCUGCUGCUACCGUUGGCCUGCGACGUAGCUGAGAAGCUUGUGGGCUACCACGUGUCGGAGGAGACCCUGCUACUGACAGACCGGAGCGGCAUGUUGCUGUUGAGCAGGAUGGAGUGAUUUUAGCAUAAUCUUGACUUCGUGUUUGAGUCUAGUUAGUUCUUAUCAGGAAUGGAUAUUCUAAUACUCCCUCAGUUCCCAAAUAUAAGUCUUUCUAGAGAUUCCAACAAGCGACUAUAUACGGAGCAAAAUGACUGAACCUACACUCUAAAAUAUGUCUACAUACAUCCGUAUGUUGUUGUCCAUUUAAAAUGUCUAAAAAGACUUAUAUUUAGGAACGGAGGGAGUAGUUAUCAUGCUUGCUUGCCGGGUGAUUAGAUUAUUAGAAAAAAUGUGUUAGAGCGGUUUGGAAUUUGAUUCGUAUUGGCAUGUAGCGUGUCUGUGCUUUUCUAUACACACGCGCUCCAUUGCAUGGCACAGAGAGAGGAAUGGGGUCCUCCUUGUCGGCCCGUAGGUACAAAGGGCAACCCGGCGAAAAAAAGAAGCUGGACUUAGACUGAUGCGCUACAACAUCCCCACAUCAAUUUUUGCUAAAGUGAUCGCUGCAACGGAAUCUUUUUUAUGCACCUUAUCAAACAUCAUGUUAACAUCAAUGCAUGCAUCCUAUUAAACAUCUUGUAAACCUUCUAUGUUCCUCCGCUGCUGCCCUGUGGGAGAUGCACCUCUAGUGAUGUUCACUUUUGCUUUGGCAAAAUGUCUAUGCACGGGAGGAAAGCCUAAAGCCUUUAUUGCGUCGCUGGAUGGGAAAGGUUUGGUGGCGAGGUGAGGUGAGGAAGAAACUGAAUAUGCAAAUCAAUGUAGUUUUGCUUGGCUGUUGUGGAUUUGAAUUGGAUGGUUGCAUCAUUCAUUUGCUGCUUUAGCUAUGGAAUGCCGCCGUUUGAGAUAUCUAGAUAGAACUGACUUUGUGUUCAUUUAUGUAAUGCACAUGAUUUGGCCAUGGUCAGAAGUGUAUGUGGAGCAUAGGAGAUUUACUUUAAAGAUGAUGCUUAGCCAAUCAGCAGACUGAGAUAUUACAACAGUUUCCCUUCGAAAGAUUUUGUUUCGGCAUAUCUGUUGUACCAUUCACAAUUCACUUGAUGGUCCUCCUUUACACUUUAGGCUAAUCUCUAUCGUGUUUUCCUCAGUUGUUGCAACAUGUAUCUCGUGAACAUUUGAUGCAUUCUCCUCCAACCAAAAACAUUGUUUCUAUUCACUUUGUUCAUACCCAAAAAGGCUUUCGCCCUGUUUUAUAUAUAAAGCAACAACCCUUAUACAUUCGAACCAUACAACACGGCAUCCAAACACACGCACCCAAAGCAAGAUACAAAGGUGCCAAAUAUCAGCUAAGCCAACUCGAAGCAAACGACAGAUGUACAGCAAGCAUCACCACAAAGAUGACGAAGGCCUCCAUCGAGAACAAGCCACUGUGAAGAACGCAUCUGACCGCUGACGAACCGUGAGCUCCAAGGUAGUGCAUUCAGGAAGGACACCACACCAGAGGGCCGCCACCACCCGGUCCAAAGGAUCAAUAUUUUCAUCCGGAGCAACACCGAGGAUCGGGAGAGACUGUGACAGAGCCGACAAGAAGGGGACGAUGUCCGCGGAUGCCACCGUCUGCCUGACCAUGGCCAGACAAGGAUUUCACCCUGCAUACCACUCCACCUCCGAUCAGGGUGCACCCGGACAAACAAACCUGCUGCUCCACAACCAUGGAUCGUCGAGCCCAAGCCACCCCGCUGCACACACGACCAAGGUCGCCGGUCCGUGCCCGAGCUGUGAGCUCCUCACACAAACACCACAACUUCCACCGCAGAGCCACCGCCCUGCCAUCCCGGUACCCCCAUCGGCUGCCCAUACAUGUGUCUUCGUGUUAUUUAGAUGUAACCGGUCUGUGGUUGAGUUUCGAGAAUUGGUGUAAAUGAGUAUUCUAGCUCUUGCAAUGGUGAUCUUGGUUUUAUCUUUCCACAGCGGGAGAAUGGAUAGGCCUUUUUUGCGGAAGAAAAUGGUAAAUUCAUACAUACCAUUUACGGGUCUAAUGAGUUUGUCUGUGUGUGGACCUUUCCUUUCAUNNNNNNNNNNNNNNNNNNNNNNNNNNNNNNNNNNNNNNNNNNNNNNNNNNNNNNNNNNNNNNNNNNNNNNNNNNNNNNNNNNNNNNNNNNNNNNNNNNNNNNNNNNNNNNNNNNNNNNNNNNNNNNNNNNNNNNNNNNNNNNNNNNNNNNNNNNNNNNNNNNNNNNNNNNNNNNNNNNNNNNNNNNNNNNNNNNNNNNNNNNNNNNNNNNNNNNNNNNNNNNNNNNNNNNNNNNNNNNNNNNNNNNNNNNNNNNNNNNNNNNNNNNNNNNNNNNNNNNNNNNNNNNNNNNNNNNNNNNNNNNNNNNNNNNNNNNNNNNNNNNNNNNNNNNNNNNNNNNNNNNNNNNNNNNNNNNNNNNNNNNNNNNNNNNNNNNUCUCUCCUGGCACUAAAUCUGUCAUCUAACCUGACCAGUUUUGCAUAUGGAAACUUAUAACAGUCACUGAAAAAAAUAACGCGCUAUAGCGCCGUUAAUGGCAUGAUAUAGUUUGUAGAGAAUUGUCUCACUAAACUAAUUAGUGUACAAUGUCUCGCUAAUAGUGCACCAUAGCACGCUAAUAUAUAGCAUAUUUUCAUGGGUGGCGCUAUCAUGUGCACCAUAGCAUGUCCAUCAAUUAGUGCUCUUCCCUUUAGUAAAUAGAACUUGCUUGGAUAUAUUGCUACAGAGCAGAGGCCAAUCUUGCAAAAUGCUCUGCUUGCAUGUUCAGAAACUACUUUGACUACUUUGAUCUGAGAAUUCCUCUGACUUGUGAAAUUUGUAUCUCAAUUUCUUCCUAGUAUUCUGAAAUUUCUAAACUAUUUCCAUGGCCUUCUGGUCUGUGUCCAGAUUUUUGAAUCUGCAUCUGUCUUGUUUGUCUCGUGACAUCUACUCCUUCCGUUCCUAAAUAUAAGCUUUUUUAGAUAUUUUAAUAUGGACUACAUACGGAGCAAAAUAAGUGAAUCUACACACUAAAAUAUGUCUAUAUACAUCUGUAUAUAGUCCGCUGAAAUCUUUAAAAAGGCUUGUACUCCCUCCGUUUCCUAAUAUAAGGCAUUUUAGCUUUUUCAUGUUUUGUACAUAUCUAGACAAAUUUUAGUAAUGUGUGUUCAUUCAUUUUAGUAUGUAUGUGGUCAAUAUUUUGAAAUAGCUAAAAUAUCUUAUAUUAAGGAACAGAUAAAGUAGAUAAAUUGGACUCGACAAACAACAAAGUCAGAUGGCAGAACCAUGGCCAUCAUGUUCAUCGUCAUCGUCUCAUCCGAAAAAGAAGUUCAUGACGAUGCCACAAGUUCACAAGGCAGCACCGAAAACAGCACAAGCCUUGGCUGUGUCUAAUUUAUUCUCCUUUAUUAGAGUACAUUACACUCAAAUAGUUCACAGUUCUCUUAACUUCCACAUUUAAGUCCAUACUAAAUCAAGUGGGUCACCGCGUAUCAGCACCAGCACACGGCAUCAGAUAGAUGACGAUGAUUCAGUGUUAUUAUGCCUGUAAACUUAUGUUGUGUUUUUAUUCUUCUUCUUGAACGUUCAUGCCUGAUAAACGCAUAUGAUAUACAUCCAUUUGAGGGACAAGAUUGGGACAAGCUUUUUCAGACAGAGGGAGUGUACUCCUAGAAAAUUGGUUUCGUAGCAGCUAGCACAUGGCAGAAAUUGGCCAGCUGCAACAAGUCAAGGGAGCCUUCAUUUUUUUUUUCACAGAGAUUACUGAAAACAAAAUGUUAUAUGUCGGGCCACCAUCUGCUACAGACGCUCUCUCUCGUUCGCUCCCAUUCCUUGUACAAUGAAGGACAAUGCAGGUAGCAGAGGAUGGCUUGCGGUAGUUGAUGUACAUGGAAACAGACUCUCUUUUGUCAAAAAAAAAGAAGAAGAUGGAAACAGAGGAUCGAUCAUACGUAGUCACCGCUGUGGUAUGAGAGAUUGUUGGUGUGUAGAUAAUGUAAUUAGGUGAGUCUAUAGGGUCUAAAAUGUAAAUUGUACAAACAAUAUAUAAAUCAGCAGAGAGAAUGGAUCGGUGAGGAACGAUCCAGAAAUUCCCCAAAUGCUCUUCACACUCCCUCCAAUCCCCAGCUCAAAUCCCUCAAAUCUCAGAUGAUUUUCAACAUGGCAUCGGAGCAGGUCAAUCCUGUGUGAUUUCGACCUUGGUGACGGCUAAUUGCGGUGCUGUGUCGCCGUGAUUUACGGCUGUGGGCACUUGAGCUGCGUCGUUCGCGAGCUGCCGCCGAGACCUGCGACAUCAUCUCCAAGCUACGGCACCGAGUGCUGCGCCCAAUCGAAGGUAGCCUGUUGACUGCCUCCCGGUGCAUCUAUGCUUACUCCCUGUGCUCAGAAGUGGAUGUUGUGCUGCCGCGGAAAAAUUGCUGGUUGCCAUUGUGCCGUCCGUCCAAGCAGUAAGCUGUCUUCUGUACUUCAUUGAUUAGUGCAGCCGGUACUAGUACUUGUGGCUGCCGUUGGAGAACCGUGAUUAGUGCAGCCGGAUAGCUCAUCUUUGCCUAGUGGCCGGAUUAAAAUACUUGUGCAGUGUGUGUGCAUUUGAGAGCAAUCUGCACUAGUAUAUCUGAUUGGCUAGUAUCAACUCUGCUUGUACUCUGCUUGUACUGCCUGUGUGUUGUUGUUAGUGGAGAUCUGCAAAAACCAAGUCCUGUGUGUCUGGUUUUUUCUUUCUGUGGUGGUAAAUCAUGGCAGAUCCAACAAAGGGGAAAUCAGGGGAUACUAGUGUGGAUAAGUUGUAUGAAAUUUUAAGCAAAGUAUUUGAACAGCAACAGCAACAACUCAAAGUGGUUCCUGAAGCUGUCAAGUAUGCACUUGAGCCUAAUCCAGUGAAGUUGGCUGGACCGGGCAAUUACAUCAGCUGGGCAUGGCAUGCCCAGUUAAUUCUGAGUUCUCAUGGCUAUGAAGAAUUGCUUAGUGCCGAUGAAGAGAAACUGAAAAGUGGUACUAUCACUAAACAGAUCAAUGAUAGAGUUUUGGUAUGGUUAUUAGGAAGCAUGGAACCACCGAUACGAGAACAAGUUGAGACUUUGACCACUGUAUUUGAAGUGUGGAAAGCUUUGGAGAAGCAAUUUUCAGGAAAAUCAAAUAAGAUGCAGGCUACUCGCAUCAUGCACGAGUUGACUAACUUGAAGCAAGGCUCAAAAUCAGUGACUGAGUAUGCAGGUGAGAUGAAGAGAUUGUAUAGGGAGUUGCAUUAUUACCAUCCUUUUCAACCCGUUGACAAGAAUGAUGUGGCUGUUCACCAUACCUGGUUUGAACCAUUUGUGGGCAAGCUCUUUCUUGAUGGCCUAAAUCAGGAGUUUGAUCUCCGCCGCCAGCUAAUAUUCUCCAAAACUGAAUGGCUAAGCCUUGAUGAUAUCAUUUCCAGUGUGAUUGAGGAGGAGACUCGUCUUGCUCAACCCAAUGAGCAUGUUCAAGAAAAAUCAGAUGCACGUGCAGCCCUAUCCAUACAAGCUCGUCGUGCUCCUAAGACCUUUGCUAAAAUAGAUAAAAGCAAACUUUUUUGCAACCACUGCAAAAGGCCUGGACAAACAAAGGAUUCAUGCUUUGAGCUGCAUGGUUAUCCAACUUGGUGGGAAAAAGGAAAAUCUCAGCCAGGGGGAGGUCAAGGAGCUCAUAAAAGACAUGCGAAUCUCACUACAUCCAAGAGGGAGCUACCGGUAGUAGAUGUGCGAGCUCUUGAGGAUUUCACCUCCAAGAUUAGACUCUCAGAAGACUUGUCUUCCUUCCAGGAUUCCUCUAAAGCUGAAACUAGUUUGCAUGCCACUUCACUCCAAGGUAUAACACCUCACAAGACCCACAAUUCUACAAUGCAAUCAAAAUCUUGGAUUAUUGAUACAGGAGCUACCAAUCACAUGACAGGAGCUUCAAAUAUAUUCACUUCCUAUACACCUUGUUCAGGUAAGGACAAAGUACGUGUAGCUGAUGGAUCCAUGGCACCUAUCACAGGACGUGGAUCUGUUAGGUGCACUAAGACAUUGUCCUUACCUCAUGUCUUACAUGUUCCUAAAUUUCCAGUCAAUCUCUUGUCAGUUAGCUCUAUUACUGAAUCUCUCAAUUGUAGAGGUUUGUUUUAUCCUACCUGGUGUGCUUUUCAGGAGCUAGAGACAUGGAGACUGUUGGGGACUGGGACCGUGCAUGAUGGACUCUACUAUCUUGAUGAAGGGAGUGAUGAAGUUGCUUUUGCAUCAUGCUUGUCUCCUAAUCAAGAACUACUACUACACCAUCGCAGGCUUGGGCAUCUCUCUUUUGCCGCAUUGUUUCGUAUUUACCCCUCUCUUUUCAAGUUGUGCCCUAGGGAAUUGCUUGUAUGUGAUGCUUGUGAAUUGGCUAAACAUACAAGAGGUUCAUAUCCUAGUAUAGGAUUAAGAAGUGCCAAACCAUUUGAAAUAAUUCACUCAGAUGUUUGGGGACCCUGUGAGGUUCGUUCGAUUUCUGGGCAUCGAUGGUUUGUAACUUUUAUCGAUUGCUUUAGUCGUUACACUUGGCUCUAUCUCUUGAAGCAUAAGAGUGAUGUGUGCUCAGUUUUUAAAGAUCUAUAUGCUCUCAUUAAAAAUCAACAUGGGGCAACUAUUAAAACAUUACGUUCAGACAAUGGUACAGAAUACAUGAACCAGGAGUUUGAACAGUUCCUUGUCUCAAACGGCAUUGAACAUCAAACUACCUGUGUUAACACUCCAGAACAAAAUGGUGUUGCAGAGCGUAAAAAUAGACAUUUUCUUGAGGUUGCACGCUCACUUAUGUUUACAAUGAACCUGCCUAAAUUUCUUUGGGGGGAAGCAAUAAAAACUGCAACAUAUUUGAUAAACUGUAUGCCUCUUCGGGUUCUUGGCCAUAAGACUCCUGCUGAGUGUCUGAUUUUGUAGUUCCUCCAAAGGUCUUUGGGUGUGUUUGCUUUGUGCAUGAUUAUAGGAACUCUGUUGGAAAAUUAGAUCCCCGUGCUCUCAAAUGUGUUUUCAUGGGUUAUUCUCCCUCUCAAAAGGGUUAUAGGUGUUGGUGCCCUUCGGAGCACCGUUUUUUUGUGAGCAUGGAUGUGACAUUCCGUGAACAUGAAUCAUAUUAUGGCUUAACCAGUGACACUGGCAUUGCCCUAUCUCCACCUGAAGUGCAACAAGAAGGGGAGGGGGAUAAUGAAGGCUCUCCAUUAAGCCCUAUUCUUGUUUCCACUUCGGAUGGUUUACCUACUCUAGAUAAUGCUCAAAAUCAGGGGGAGGACACAAAUAGUGAUGGGUGUAAUCAUGGUUCUGGUCAUGGAGACAUACAAGAUGCAACAGGAAACUCUUCACUUCCUUCACAAGAUGGUGAGCUUCACAGGCAUGAGGACCCAGGUACUAACAAUAAUCCCUCUAGUCUAGUCGCUCCUAUUAGCACCACAAGGCAGAGUGAUAACCAAUUAUCUAUCCUUGCUCCUGAAAAUGACCUGCCUAUUGCUGUGAGGAAACCUACUAGAAAUCGAAAUAUUCCAGGACACCUCAAGGAUUUUAAACAUGAUAUAGCCAAUUUCAUUUCCUAUAAAUAUUGUACUCCACCCUUCAAAAGCUUUAUUGCAUCUUUAGAUUCUAUCUCCAUACCAUCAAACUGGAAAAUAGCUAUAGAGGACCCAAAUUGGAAGGAAGCAAUGCUUGAUGAGAUGAAAGCCUUGGAGAAGAAUGAGACUUGGGAGCUUGUGGAUCUACCACCAGGUAAGCAACCUGUAGGUUGUAAGUGGGUCUUCACUAUUAAACACACCCCUGAGGGCAAGGUGGAGAGGUACAAAGCCCGCCUUGUAGCAAAAGGCUACAUGCAAACAUAUGGAAUCGAUUAUGAAGAGACCUUUGCACCGGUGGCAAAGAUGAAUUCAGUAAGGACACUUAUAUCAUGUGCUGUAAACCUUGAUUGGGAUAUUUACCAGAUGGAUGUGAAGAAUGCUUCCUUCAUGGUGAUCUCCAAGAAGAAGUAUACAUGCAUAUACCACCUGGAUUUGAGUCAAGUCAAACUGUUGGAAAGGUAUUGCGCCUACAUCGUUCUUUAUAUGGCUUAAAGCAAUCACCACGUGCUUGGUUUGAUCGGUUUAGACAUGCUAUGCUAAAGAGGGGUUAUCUUCAAAGUAAUGCUGACCAUACGCUAUUUUACAAGCAUACUAAUGGCAAGGUUGCAAUCUUGAUAGUGUAUGUCGAUGACAUUGUGAUUACUGGAGAUGAUUCCAAGGAAGUUGCAGAUCUGAAGUGUCAUCUUGCACAUGAGUUUGAAGUGAAGGACUUGGGACAACUAAGAUAUUUUCUUGGUAUAGAGGUCUCACGAGGGUCAAAAGGUAUUUUUCUCUCACAGCGAAAAUAUAUCUUGGAUCUGCUCAAGGAAACAGGUAUGCUUGGUUGUCGACCUGCUGCUACACCUAUUGAGCAAAAUCAUCGGUUAUGUAGUGAUGCUGGUACACCAGUGGAUCGAGAACGCUACCAGAGACUAGUUGGAAGGUUAAUAUAUUUAUCUCAUACCCGUCCAGAUAUUGCCUUUGCUGUGAGUGUAGUUAGCCAAUACAUGCAUGACCCAAAAUCAGUUCAUAUGGAAGCUGUAAAUAGGAUCCUACGGUAUCUUAAAGGGUGCCCAGGAAAAGGCCUCUUAUAUACCAAACAAGGGGACUUGCAAGUUGAGUGCUACACUGAUGCUGAUUGGGCUGGUUCCCUAGAUGACAGGCGCUCAACAUCUGGUUACUGUACAUUUAUUGGAGGAAACCUAGUUUCAUGGCGAAGUAAGAAACAAAGUGUGGUGGCUCGGUCUACUACAGAGGCCGAGUUUAGGUCUAUGGCUCACGGCAUAUGUGAGUUAUUAUGGUUGCAGAUUCUCCUAACAGAGCUGCGGCUGUAUAAGUACAAACCUUUGAUGUUGUACUGUGACAACAAAGCUGCUAUUGACAUUGCAAAUAACCCCGUUCAACAUGACCGAACCAAGCACAUAGAAAUUGAUCGUCAUUUCAUCAAGGAGAAGCUUGAUAGAGGGAUAAUUUGCCUACCAUAUGUAACUUCAGCAAGUCAAGUAGCAGAUGUACUUACAAAAGGACUCCCAGAAAAGACUUUUUCCAUGUUUUGUAGCAAGAUGGGUUUGUACGACAUAUUCACCCCAUCUUGAGGGGGAGUGUUGGUGUGUAGAUAAUGUAAUUAGGUGAGUCUAUAGGGUCUAAAAUGUAAAUUGUACAAAGAAUAUAUAAAUCAGCAGAGAGAAUGGAUCGGUGAGGAACGAUCCAGAAAUUCCCCAAAUGCUCUUCACACUCCCUCCAAUCCCUAGCUCAAAUCCCUCAAAUCUCAGAUGAUUUUCAACAGAGAUUUAUAGCGCCGGUUGAUUAGCUUCUUUGGGGUGGGGCUGGCACUAGAUUACAUACAGAGAGGAAUUAACAAUGGACUAUAGGCGUCCUGUGGCUUGCUGCGAAAUUGGGAACAUGAUUAGAGACCCCGGAUGUAUAUAUAGAAGUCCUACAUAUACGCCAUUGUCUUAGGAUGUCAAAGUGUGUGUGGUAUGAUUACAACUUUGCUUCUCUCCCUAUCCAGCUCCGGACUAUCUAAAAUAUUGGAGGAGAACAAAUACAUAUAUCCUACCCUGCCUAAUCCCUUUCCUCGUCUUGCUCCUCACGGACGACAUAAUCUCGCAACCAAGUCCCUUCCAAUUUACAACAAGCACCCUCAAGUCUUCGUUUCCUUACAAACAAGGUCAAAAUUUUGACAGUCGGGCCAAACAUCACCGGAAAUUUUGGCAGCAUAACGCGUCGGUUUUUGGGAACAAAGAAUCGGAACAUGCAUGCAUGCAUGCACAAAUGGCACCACAAAUCGCCCCACGACCAACCACGUGCGCCAAGGCAGUGUUCUUUGUUUAGCUCACAACCACAUAGAUUAAAUGUGCCGCCGCGCUGAUUGCUGGCACUAGAUUAGGUACAGACAGGAAUUAACAAUGGACUAUAGGCGUCCUGUUUCUUUACAGAACAACCUCAUGUAGUCAGUUGGUCAGUCAGUGCUCUGCUUCUAUAGCCCUGUUUCCACCCUAUUCCUGAACCAGCGUUUAAGUUAGAUCAGAGGGUUAAAAAUUUCAGUGAUUUUUUUAAAUUUUGCAUAAUUCAGUGGGGUUCCAAAUAUUUUUAAACUUGAAAUUUCGAGGCAGAUUCAAAAUGAUUUCAAAUAAAUUUAAAUUGUUUUAGAAUUCAUCAAAAUUAAGUGUAAUUUGAAAUAUCCAAAUCCGAAAUAAUUUCUUAAAUAUAUCAAAGCACCUUUUCUAGUCUGUUUAGGUAUCAUCUUCUGUAGAGUAGAACACAAUGCAUGCAUUUGGAUACUGUUUAUAGCUAACUAGCAUGGCAGACUGGAUUAAUCAUGUUAUUAGUGUCAACGAUAUCUGAAAUACACUUGUUCCGUUUGGGGUGUGGAUUGUUUGUCCUUAUGAUGCAGGAGGAAAUUGCAAUUGCUUCCAGUUAUCUUGUUCAGACUGUUUUUAUCGGAGGAAAACAGGACGAAUUAAUACCACAUGGAAAGGGAAAAUGUGUUUGCUUCAAACUGUCUUGUUCAGAUAAUUUUUAUAGAAGGAAAACAUGACUAAUUAAUAAAGCAUGAAAAAAAAGAAAAAAAAGUAAUGUGGGUGUAUUAUCAUUCCUCAAAUUUGUACUAGUUGGGAUACAAGUUGGCGCCAAAAGUGAUCCAUGAGGGGCUCUCGCAGGUUGUAAUCCUAAUUAGUUGCUCUCCCAUUAAAUGCAUUCAGCCUUCUCAAGAAGCCCCAGUAAUCAUGGGCCCAUGAAAAGGAUAUUCAUGGAAGAUAAGGACAAGAGGUCCUAUCUGGCGCUUUGGGUGUCGCGAAGAUCUACAUCGCUUGCACACAAGGCACAGUGAGGCAGAACCAUUAGCGCCAUUGUUCCCCUCAGCUGCUUCUCUCGCUAGCUCGUUCCCCGUUCUAUCUCUUGCUCGUUGGUUAGCAGAAAGAACCAGUAGUUACAGGUUCAUGAAGAAAAUGACUUCUGAUUUUUUUACAUGAUAGCUUAUUUUUUUGUUACAUUCAAAAGAAUAUACAAAUUCUAAAAAAAUUAUGAAUUUGUUCAAAAUUUUAAAAAAUGCUCAUGAACUUGAAAAAUGUGGAAAUAUAUUGAGAAUGUCUAUGAUCUAAAAAAAUUAUGGAUUUGAAAAGUGUUCAAAAUAUUUGAAAAUGUCCACAAAUGUUGCAUGAAUUCGAAAAAAAAUUCAAAAUAUUGCUCAUAAUUUUUUUAAACAAUGAAAAGAGUAAAAGAAAGAAAAAAAUAGAAAACAAAAAAUAUUGUAUCGGAAAACCCCCGACAGAAAGCUCCGGUGUGCACUAUGUACAAAAGGGUGAUUUUUUCUAUUAAGAGAAAAACAUGAAUGAAUACAAAGUGCAGUUUAGAGCAAGUAAGCCCAACAUAAUAAGUGUCAUGUGCCUCUCUAUUUGCCGAGGCCCCGAAUCAUUAGACCAGCCCAGCCCAACUUGCCCACACUUUGCCGUAGAUUCUUUUCAAAAUGUUUUAUCUUUUGAGCCGUGCAUCCAAACCCCAAACCGUUUUCACCGUUGGGUUCCCCGCGUCGAGAUCUUUGAAACCAGAUCUUUCAUAGGUUUGAAACAUGGCGGUGGCUGAGAGCAUGUCAAGUGACGCACGGUUAGCGCAUCCGAAGUGACCUUUGAGGGGCUCCCUCAAUUUGCACGCCUAGUUAGUCGCUCUCCCAUUACAUGCAUCCAGCCUUCUCGGGAAGACCCAGUAAUUCUGGGCCUAUGAAAAGGGAAUUCAUGAAAGAUAAGGACAGGAGCUCCUAUCUAUCUGGCACUUCAGACGUUGCGAAGAUCAACAUCGCUUGCGUGGAAGGCACGGUGACCCAUGGCCAAUUAGCGCGCUUGCUCCCCUCAGCUGCUUCACUCGCUAGCCCGGUCACCGUUCUGUCGCUUACUCAUUGUCUAGUAAAAAGAACCAGUAGCUAGAGGUUCAUGAAGAAAAUGACUUUUGAUGUUUAUAGAUUUUUUUGACAUGAUAGAUCAUUUUUGUUACAUUCAAAAAAGUUUACGAAUUUUAAAAGGAUUAUGAAUUUGUUCACAAAUUUGAAAAAAUGUUCAUAGAUUUAAAAAAUGCUCAUGAACUUGAAAAAUUGUUGUCAUAUUUUGAAAAUGUUUAUGGAUUUAAAAAUGUUCAAAAUAUUGCACGGUUCACAAUUUAAAUGUUGCAUUAAUUGGAAAAGGUUAAAAAAUGUUCAUUAGUUUUUUAAACGAUGAAAAACUAAAAGAAAGAAAAAAAACGAAAACAGAACAUUGAACCACAAUACCUGACGGAAAGCUUCUAGAAAGCUCCAAAAACAUGUUUCCACACGAAUGUGGUAUUAGGCAAGCACGUUUACUUCACUCGCUCGCUACAGUGUGUGAUAUGUUCAAAAACACUACCAUUUGGCACCUUAAGCACCUGAUAAUUUUGCUCACACCAUUCUCUCCUUCAUUAAUUUCUGCAGUUCACCUGUGUUGGAGGAGUUUCUUUCGAGAGUUCCAAUGGCAGAGCUGGUGGCCGCCAUGGCCAUCCGGCCACUGGUGUCCAUCCUAAUGAGCAAGGCAUCCAGCUCACUCCUGGAUGAGUACAAGGUGAUGGAGGGAAUGGAGGAGGAGCACAAGGUUCUCAAGCGCAAGCUUCCAGUCAUCCUUGACGUCAUGAAUGACGCCGAGGGGCAGGCAAAGGAGCAUAGAGAUGGUGCCAAAGCCUGGCUCCAGGAGCUCAAGACUGUGGCCUAUGAGGCAAAUGAAGUCUUCGAUGAAUUCAAGUACGAAGCACUCCGCCGUGAAGCCAAGAAGAAGGGGCACUACAGAGAGCUUGGCUUCGAUGUAAUAAAGCUAUUCCCUACUCACAACCGUAUUGUUUUCUAUUACAAAAUGGGCCGCAAGCUUUGCUGGAUUCUGAAGGCCAUUGAUGUACUUAUAGCGGAGAUGCAUGCCUUUAGGUUCAAGUACUGACCACAGCCGCCAGUGCCCAAGCAGUGGAGGCAGACGGAUUCUGUUAUCACCGACCUGCAAGACAUUGCGAGCAUAUCCAGAGACAAGGAUAAGAAGAAUAUUGUUGCUACACUACUUGGUCAAGCUAACAAUGCAGAUUUCACAAUUGUUCUCAUUGUUGGAAUGGGGGGAAUGGGGGGCCUUGGCAAGACCACAUUAGCGCAGCUCAUAUACAAUGAUCCUGAAAUUCAGAAGCAUUUCCCGUUGCUGCUUGAUAACCCACAAGUAUAGGGGAUCGCAACAGUUUUCGAGGGUAAAGUAUUCAACCCAAAUUUAUUGAUUCGACACAAGGGGAGCCAAAGAAUAUUCUCAAGUAUUAGAAGUUGAGUUGUCAAUUCAACCACACCUGGAUAGCUUAAUAUCUGCAGCAAAUUAUUUAGUAGCAAAGUAGUAUGAAAGUAAUGGUAACAUCGAUAAAAGUAGCAGUAGUAGUUUUGUAGAAAUUGUAACAGUGGCAACGGUAAAGUAACUAAGCAAAGAGCAAUAUGUGAAAAGCUCGUAGGCAUUAGAUCAGUGAUGGAUAAUUAUGUCGGAUGCGAUUCCUCAUGUAAUAGUUAUAACACGGGAUGACACAAAACUAGCUCCAAUUCAUCAAUGUAAUGUAGGCAUGUAUUCCAAAUAUAGUCAUACGUGCUUAUGGAAAAGAACUUGCAUGACAUCUUUUGUCCUACCCUCCCGUGGUAGCAAGGUCCUAAUGAAAACUAAGGGAUUUUAAGGCCUCCUUUUAAUAGAGUACCGGACCAAAGCAUUAACACAUAGUGAAUACAUGAACUCCUCAAACUACGGUCAUCACCGAGAAGUAUUCCGAUUAUUGUCACUUCGGGGUUGUCGGAUCAUAACACAUAAUAGGUGACUAUAGACUUGCAAGAUAGGACCAAGAACUCACAUAUAUUCAUGAAAACAUAAUAAGUUCAGAUCUGAAAUCAUGACACUCGGGCCCUAGUGAUAAGCAUUAAGCAUAGCAGUCAUAGCAACAUCAAUCUCAAAACACAGUGGAUACUAGGGACUAAACCCUAACAAAACUAACUCGAUUACAUGGUAAAUCUCAUCCAACCCAUCACCAUCCAACAAGCCUACGAUGGAAUCUCACGCAUGGCGGUGAGCAUCAUGAAAUUGGUGAUGGAGGAUGGUUGAUGAUGACGACGGCGACGAAUCCCCCUCAUCGGAGCCCCGAACGGGCUCCAGAUGAGCCCUCCCGUCAGAGAUUAGGGCUUGCCGGCGGCUCCGUAUCUUAAAACACGAUGAAUCUUUCUCCCUGCUUUUUUUCUCCGCGAAAGCAAAUAUAUGGAGUUGGAGUUGAGGUCGGUGGACAUCCGGGGGCCCACGAGGCAGGGGGCGCGCCCCCCACCCUCGUGGACAGGGUGUGGGCCCCCUGGCCUUGAUUCUUUCGCCAGUAUUUUUUAUUAAUUCCAAAAAUAAUCUCCGAGGAGUUUCAGGUCAUUCCGAGAACUUUCGUUUCUGCACAAAAAUAACACCAUGGCAAUUCUGCUGAAAGCAGCGUCAGUCCGGAUUAGUUCCAUUCAAAUCAUGCAAGUUGGAGUCUAAAACAAGGGCAAAAGUGUAAAGUAGAUACGACGGAGACGUAUCACUGCUCUGGGUCUGUGUCUCUAAUACCUUUGACGUGAACUCCCUGGCCAAGAGUAUAGUUGAAUCAUCUUCCAGGAAGAAUAUUGAUACAGACAAACCACCACUGGAUAGACUUCAAAAACUGGUCAGUGGACAACAGUAUCUCCUUGUAUUGGAUGAUGUUUGGGACAAUAAAGAGUUACGUAAGUGGGAAAGGCUGAAGGUAUGUCUUCAGCAUGGUGGCAUGGGCACUGCAGUGUUGACAACAACUCAUGAUAAACGAGUUGCUGAAAUUAUGGGUGCAGCUAGGGCAAGCCUACAAUCUCAAUGCUUUGGAGGAUCACUUCAUAAAGGAAAUUAUUGUGGAUAGAGCAUUCAGCCUGGAUAAAGAAAAGCCCGCUGAACUAGUGGAGAUAGUUGAUCAGAUUGUGGACAAAUGUCGUGGCUCUUCUUUAGCUGGAUGUGCACUGGGCUCUGUACUUCGUACCAAGACCACAGUAAAAGAAUGGAAGGCUAUAGCAUCUAGAAGCAGCAUUUGCACUGAGGAAACUGGAAUCUUGCCAAUACGCAGUGCAGGAAUGGAAGGUUAUCGCGGGGUGUCGUCAAACCAUCCAUGCAUCUCGCAAGAGGGAGUAAAGCUUGGACUUGUUGAGAAACUUUCCAGCAUUCUCUAGUUUGGAGCUUGCUGAGUAAUGGUACUCUAUUAGCUAGGGGAAUAGAUGCUGGUUUGCAAUUGCUUCUGAAACUGAACUGAACCUGCAGUUGCUCUAGAGCGAGAAUUGUUGGGGCCUUGGGUGUAGAGUGACUGCUCGGCGUUGAGUCAAGUCGAGCAUCACGGUAGGCUCCCGCUCCUGCGACCCGCUCCCACCCCCGAAACCCUCGCCGCCGCCACCUCCCAUGCCCGUCUCCAGCGGGAUCCGGCCGUCCUCGCCGGCGCGCGGCCCGGGUCCGCCCCUCACCCUCCCCGGCCCUUCCUUCCCCGCCCCUCCUUCCGCCGUCGCGCCACCUCCCCGGAAGGCGGCCGGGGCGGCCCCAGCGCCUCUUCACUCGGCUUCGCCUCCUCUUCCUCUCCCCUGCCGUCGCCGGUGGGCGCCUCCGGCUCCGGCCCGGGGGGUGCCGGCGACGGCAGGAUCUCCUCUCCCCACGCCCGUGUCCCCCUGGCCCGGGGCAGGGGGGCGGCGGCGGUGUCGCUCAGCUGGGCAGCGGUCUGGUGACCCGGCGGGGUGGCCGGCGGCGGACGUGGUGGCGGCGGGGCGGCGUGGUGGUGCGGGGUGGCCGACGUCGCGCCCCCGGCCCAGAUCUGGGCCCGGCGGGCCUCAUCUGGGUCCUAGCGGGCCGGCCCCUCGGCGUGGCCUCGUUGUCUGCGGCGCGGUGAGGAGGAGGAGCGGCUCGGAUAUGGGGCGUCGGCGCCGAUGGCAUGCCGGCAACAGCGCGAAGGCGGGAGCUUUACGGGCUCACGAGGGCUCAGCAAGGCCUGGUGUGCUCCUGCUAUUGCGUCCGGACGGCUACCGUCACUGACGGUGGAUGUGGGGCCCUCCCGCGUGCCGACGGUGCUGAUACCCUAGUCCAAGGGAAAACCCUUGGCAGCAGCAUCGUCAUCGUCGCAAUCCUUCUUGGAGGUGUUGAUAGGUGCCGGCGCUUUGGAGUCUUGGAGCCUAGUGGAAGAUCCCGGUGGGCGCAGCGAUUGCGAGGCUUCUUCGUUUUUGUUGAUCCGCCGUUAUCGGCAUUUGUUUCUGUUGCUCUUUCUCUAUCGUUUCUUUUGGGCGUGACUAUGCUGCUUCCGCCCCAGCACCUAUCUCUGUAUGGUUCGGUUGGUUGCUUUGUAUACAAAGCGGGGGAAACCCUUUUUUGGUAAGUCGAGCAUCACCGAGUCAAAUUCCAGACCGCGCCAAGAGGAUCUAAUUCGGAUUUGGUUUCCUGCUGGUCCUUUGGGUCUGCACAACAGGGUCAGUAGCAGUUUAGUCUUCAUGUUCACUGAUCACAUUUUUACUGUAACGCAAUGUAACUCUCUGUUUUUUACAUCCCAGUGAAGUGAUGGCAAGUAUAACAGAAGCUAACAUAACAUCCAUACUAAGUUCUUCUACUACAUGAAGGUUGGUUACUCUCAUACAGAACUAGCCUGUUUGCAAAUGCUAGUUCAAUCACUCGCUCAUUUAUGAACUUCUCUCCAUUCUUUUGGCGUGAGUUCCCUCCAACCACUCUUUUUCUUGUGUUUUUGGCAAGAGAUUGGAAACUAAGCAUGCAAGUAGACUAGUCAUAUCAUUCAACAGUCUACUCACAUGAUAGUAAUGUCCUGAUAAACGAUUUCCGAAUGGCCUUCUCAACACAUAUCCCAUGCUCACAAUAUUUUCUUUCGAAAGAAGAGCUAUCACAGAUUAGAGGUGUGUAGAAGUCCUAUAUAUACUUCUGCCUUAGGAUGUGAAAGUGAGUGUGAUAUGAAUUUAUAUUUUUCCCUUGCGUCUUUAGCUUAUUUACAUCUAAAAUAUUGGAGGGAAACAAAAAUGUGAGAGUCAAGGAGGUGAAGCGAAAAGGAGCUGAAAAUCACUAGCAUUGUCGUGUCUUACUUUGUCCACUUGAAGUCAAAUUACCACUAGGCAUGGUAUGUGGAUGUAGGAGCCACGGUGGCAAUUGUAGCUCUCGGAAGAACACCCACCAUUCAAUAAGUACGCCUUGGGGCAAAUGAUUCCAGAAGCUUUGUUUCAAGCAACAGGCUGCCAGAGGUCUAACUGUGUCUUGUAGACAUGACAAUGCCUAAAAUGAAAACUUUGAGGAAACCUAAUGGAGCGAUGCUUGUUUCAGGGGAACCAGUAGUCGGCAAGAUCCCAGUCCAGGGGAACCAGUAGUACUGGAAUACGGACGACAAUGGGGCCAAGAGUGGAAAUGUAGGAGUGAGCUAUAGGAAGAUCAUCUAGUGUCCCAUUUGUGAGAGUGUGUGUGUUUUUAAAAGGGGCAAGUGCCAUCCCUGUUAACGAAUCGAUGAAAUGAGAAUUGCCUGAACUAUCACCUACUCACCCUCUCCCUCUGUUCUUCUCAUCACCUACUCCCAAAUUACCCCGUCCGAUGUGUGAAUCUUGUACCACCACUAGCAGGAAAUGACAGUUUGACAGCGGCAAUCAUGGUAAUUUUUCUCUGUCAGCACUCGAGAACAAUUGGUGUAGGCACAAAUCUAUGACAGGACGGAUGUUUUCUACUCCCUCUGUCCCAAAAUAAGUGUCACUGAUUUAGUACAAAGUCAUACUAACUUUGUAUAAAUCAACUUAAUACAAAGUUAGUAUGACUUUGUAUUAAAUCAUCUAUAGUAUAAGAAAAACAAUUUAUUUCUAUUUCUAUAGUAUAAGAAAAACAAAUAGUAUAAGAAAAACAAAUCGAAUCAAAUUCAUGGAUUUACCACGACCUUGGUUGUGACUGUGACUCCAUAGAUAAAAAUGGGAAAUUUCUCUCUUCGAGACCAUUGAAAAGGGCAUUGAACGAGAAAGAAAUCGUCCACAGAUAAUAAAACUAUCAUAUGCCUUGGAAAGUGAUAUGAGGUGCUCGGAAAUGGUUGAAGUAAUUGAAUAGGAGGAUCACUAUGACUAUAGCCCUUGGUAGAAUUCCUAAAAAGAAAAUGAUCUAUUUGAUACUAUGGAAAAUGCUUAUACAUAGUAGUUUAGCAGUCGUGUUUGUUUGGGCACCCACGCUACUUGUAAUUACCAGUAGCGCUGGGCAGAUAGCACGCUACUGGUACGGCUUAGCAGCAGCGUGGGUUUCUUUUGGGCACGCUACUGGUAAGUGUGCCACACCACACCAGCAGAUCAACAUAUACUAGCAGCGUUGGUCGUCUACCCAGCGCGACUGUUAAGUCAAGAUCUAUAGCGCCUGUACUCAGAAACGCGCUACUAUUAUUUCUUCUAUGUGUAAACUUUUACCAGUAGCGUGUUUUUCCACCCGACGCUAUAGCUAGCAAAUCAUAGCUGUAGCGCGCAUCGGUAGCCAGCGCUAGUGCUAUGGUCCCAGUCCACUCCCACACCCCACCCACCCGAUCCAGAUCCCCUCCAUCUCCCUCCUCUGCCGGCCUCCCUUCCACCUCCUCUCCUCUCCGCUGGCGCUGGGAUCCCCUCCCCGUUCUUUUUCAUCGCUGUCGUCCCCGUCUCACCCUCUUUCCGAUCCAUGGCGUGAUCCUUCGCCGUGUACACGUCUAACAGGCCUCACGCGCGCGCAGCCUUCCUUACUAUCCGGCCGACCAGGCCCAUCGCCGUGGCCAGCCCGGGCUUCUCCCAGCCACGGCGUGGAGGUUGGGCAGCGAGGCGGCCCCGAGGGUGAGCCUAGUAGCGGCACGAACACAAGCGCCAGGGAGACAGAUGGCGGACGCAAGCGCCGGCGAGUUGGUGGCUCCGAUGCGAUGACUUCGCUAGGCCUGGGUGGCCGCUCCGGCAAGGUGGCAACUCCAGCAGGCGUCAGCUCGAGCUUGGCGCUAGCAGGCAGAAGGAUAGGUUGAGUACCGCCUGCCGACUGUUGUUUUUUCAGUUUCAGUUUUAGUAUUUUGAUUACUCAAUUUCAUGCUAUCAGUUGCUCAAUUUUAGUUGAACUGCAUUUGUUUGUAUCAUCAUAUGUUUUUAGGUGAUGCCUAUAUAUUCGUUCACGUGUAUGUGUGGUUUCUGAAUCACAUUUGCCAGUUGCCACUGGUUCUUGUGUGCACAAAUGAUCCAACUCUGCGCACACUAGUUCGUUCAUGUGUGUCUGCAACUCUGCGCUAAUCUUAACACUGAUGUGUUCAUUGCAGAUGGACAGACUGCUUCAUCAUUGGAUAAAAGUAAUAGCUCAUCCUACCGACAGGAUUAUUAUUCUCACUGUGACAACAAGAAGGUGAUAUUCGAGACCCGACCUCCCAGAGGUAUGUUCAGAUAAUAGGAGAUUUCUAUUGCAAGUGAAAACUAUGAUCAGAAUGGCUAAAGCAAAAUUUAUGAACAUAUCAUUAAGUGAAACAGAAAGAAAAUACUAUUGAUUCAUGCCUGCUGGUUCUGGUGAAAAGAAAGACGAGGGCUCAAAAUUCCUGGCCAUUUCAUUAUUUAGCCUCCUUUGGUAAAUACUAUUUAGUUGCAGAGCUCAGUGAGUGGCUGGUUUUAUGGAACUGAAUAUUUGAGCCAUAUUCUGUGAGUUUGUGGUAGUAGAGAAAUGUCAAAAAUGAGGCUGUAGAAUGUUAGGCACAUAUGAACAUUAUUUAUUAUUGAUAGAUUAUGCCAGCUUCCAUGGAAUUCCAGUUAAACUGCGUGCCAGGAGUUUUAAUACGCUAUUCUUGUAUGAUUUUUCCACUUUUCUAUGUAGUGAUCUUGCAUGUAACACCUGUCCAUUGAUCCGGGAUGUUAUGUAGUACGUGUGGCAGUGUACAUAUUUUAUCCAAAGAGAGUACAUUCUCAUCUUGGAACCAGGGAAAGCUCAUGGGUAGCACAAGUCCAAGCAUCUCUGUUGUCUUCCUGACAGGUAACAAACAUCCCUACUGUCUUUCAGCUGAGUAUUAUUCUCUCCUUUGUUUGGGCUAGACUUGUGGCUUAUGCUGGUAGGAUUUCCAUGAUGCUGACCAUUAAGGAUUAUAUUAUCAAGACAGUUUUUCACUGCCUUUAUUAAUUGUUUGAGAAAUGCCCAAUAUAAUUGAAGUUAACUUUCAUUUGGGCCAUGAUUGAAGUUAACUUAGAUGAACUAGUAGCUUUGAUGUUCAUGAGCUGAUGUCAUUGCUCACCUUAGUCAAUCUUAAUUUGAUCCCGGGACUAGCAAUCCCGUGAAAAUCCCUUCAUUUCAAACUAAUUGAAGUUCAGUACAAAAAAACAAUUGAAGUUCUAAUGUUGUGCUAAGUCAAACUUCUUCAAGUUUGACCAAGUAUAUAAAAACUAUUUCAACAUCUACAACACCAAAGUUUCAUCAUAACAUUGUGCUCUCCUCUCCCAACCCACUCGCCGCUGGUGAGUACUAUCACACAGAGGAAACUAUGUUGCUCUUCUUUUACUUGUUUUUUGAGGAAGCUGUAGCCUGCCGCACGUGCAUGGUAGAUUAGUUCUGCAAGUAGGUAGUAUCUUGGAUUCCGCUGGACAUGUAGCCAUGGAGAUAAAAAAAAAUUAAUGCUUUGCGUAGGUUCAUGGCCCUGCUAUGUGCUUGCUCCUGUCUAUGUCCAUGAGCAACAGCAAAAUCAAUCGUUUAGUAGCAUAUCAUUCUUAGACCUUAGUGCUUGUCCUAGAAACUGGAUAUACCGGAGUCCAUAGUGCUAGUGCACUUUAAUUUUUGUUAAGUUUGUACACCCUGCCCGAGAAAGCAAUAGCCGUCACUUAGCUUUUUGUUGGAUGCCUUAUAGAGGAUGAAUUGGUUUAUUUAUGUUUAAUGUUGCCCCUCUUACAGAUUCUCGCUUAGAGAUACCAAGCUUGUUCUCCGAGAGUUCGAGAAAUGUGGCGUUAUAUUGAGACAUCACUAUGGCCCAACAGAGGGUAAUUGGAUAAUUAGUAAUUCUGGACAUCUUUGUAGCUUGCAAAAACCAGAUUGCAAGUAAUUCUUAACAUCUUUGUAGCUUGCAAGAACAUAUCCAAUUUGACUGAUUGUAGGCCCGUAUCCAAUUUGAUUCAUUCACAGUUUCUUUGCCUUGAGUUUCAAUCAAUUGUACUGGUGUAGGUAGUAUGUUCAUAUCAUACUUUGCAAUGGAUCAAAAAUAAUCUAAAGGUGAAGCUGUAGUAGUUUGGUCUUGCUUUCUUUUGUUCACAUUGGCUAACUUGAUAUUGUAACAAACGAGAGCAGAAGACACUGAUUAAUGCUAAUGAUUUAGUAAAUACAUUUUUUUUGUGUUUUUCUUUGCCUUGUCCCGCCCAGUAAUGUAUUCUAUUUGUCUGCGAAGACUGAACUUGGUGCCAAACAUUAUAGAAAGUACUAAUCUAGACUGGUAUCCAUGGUAACCAUGUGCGUUCCUGGACCAUUUAGUUUGAAUAACCAGUGAGGAAUUAAGCAUAUAUUUUUGGCAUGAGCUCUUUUAAAUUGCUAGAUGAGAAGGAAUCUUAACUUAAUGGGUCUUGUGAAUUGUAAUAUACUAUUUGGUUGAACUGAUGAUAUUUGCAUACUAACAAGUUUUCACUUUCCCGGCGUGGACGCAGGGGUGAUCGACGCUGACUAGCAUGGCCCGGUGGGCACUGUGCUCUUCAACCCGGUGAAGCCCGGCGGCCACAUCGCACAGAUGAUAGUCCAGGUGAUCAUGACGCCGAAGGUCGCCGAGGUGGAGGACCUCGACGCCACCGUCCGGGGGGAGGGAGGAUUCGGGUCCGCCGGCGUCUGAACUCCGAGCCUUGGUACAUUCAUCUGGAGAAGUGGUUUGUUUAGGUUGGUGGUGAACACUAGGGAAGGUACCUACGUUUUGAUGAUGGUUGUGUGUGUCUGAUGUUAAAUGGAUUCUUGUGAUCUCUUCCAGUUGAGAUGGUUCUGUGACCUUAGUUUAUCUUGCACUGGAUGUGUCUCUGAUUUCCAUCCAUGAAUACUGCAUCUAAUUUUUACUAUUCUAAUUCCUAAUUAGCUAGUAGUAGCGUGGGGGAAAAGGUGCAUGCUACUGGUCCUAAUUAGCUAGUAGUAGCGUGGGGGAAAAGUGCACGCUACUAGUACAUAGGAUAGUAGUAGCGUGGGUUACAAAAAAGCCCUACUGCUAUCUUCAGUUACCAGUAGCGCUGGGACAAACAAGCGCUACUGCUAAAAAAUAGCAGUAGCAGUAGCGCGUCUGCCAGUGCUACUGGUAGCAAAAAAACCAGCGCUACUGGUAAGCAUUUUCCUAGUAGUGUAUGGAUGACUAGUUACGAAGGGACCAUUUCGUUUUUGUAGGAUGGUCUGGCCUAUUGCUCUUUCCUUGUGCUUAUUUCGCUUUAGGGGGUUGGUUUACAGGGACAAGUUUUGUAACUUCUUGGUAUACCCAUGGAUUGGCUAGUUCCUAUUUGAAAGGGUGUAAUUUCUUAACCGCAACAGUUUCUACCCCUGCCAAUAGUUUAGCACACUCUUUGUUGCUACUAUGGGGGCCUAAAGCACAAGGAGAUUUUACUCGUUGGUGUCAAUUAGGCGGUCUAUGGACUUUUGUAGCUCUCCACGGGGCUUUUGCACUAAUAGGUUUCAUGUUACGCCAAUUGAACUUGCUCGGUCCGUUUAAUUGCGGCCUUAUAAUGCAAUCUCAUUCUCUGGUCCAAUUGCUAUUUUUGUUUCUGUAUUCCUUAUUUAUCCACUGGGGCUAUCUGGUUGGUUCUUUGCACCGAGUUUUGGCGUAGCAGCGAUAUUUCGAAUCAUCCUUUUCUUCCAAGGAUUUCAUAAUUGGACGUUGAACCCAUUUCAUAUGAUGGGAGUUGCCGGAGUAUUAGGUGCGGCUUUGCUAUGCGCUAUUAAUGGAGCGACCGUAGAAAACACUCUAUUUGAGGACGGUGGUGGUGCAAAUAACUUCCGUGCUUUUACCGAAAAAGGCUUUCGCCCCGCUUUAUAGAUAAAGCACACCGCCACAAAACACACAACCCCAACAGGUUCAGACACACACACCCAAGUAGCACAACAAAGUCAAAAGGUACUGCUGAGGGCACAGCUCAACAAGCCCAAAGAAACAGAAAAGGAAACCGGGCGAGGCCGGGCGAGAGACCCACGGAGGGGGCUAGUCAGGCUCCGGCGGAGGGGGCGGCGGCGGCGGCGACAGGCGGACGGCCAUCGUGCGGAGGUCGGCGAUGAAGGCGGAGAUGGCGUUGCGCUCCAGGAGACGGCUAAGCGGCCGCCAAAGCUGCAGGAAACCCGAGAAUUUGUAGAGAGCGUCAGUAGCACGACGAAUCGGAGUGCGCUCAAUCACAAGCUUAUUACGAACAGUCCAAAGAGUCCAGGCUAGGGUCCCAACCUCCAGCCACCUAAUGUGGCGGGAGGACGGGGGGGACGCUUGGAGUUCAGCAAAAAGGUCGGGGAAGUUGGUGUGAGUCCAAUUUCCGCCGACAAGCUCGCGAAAACAGCUCCAGAGGAACUGGGCAGAGGUGCAAGCGAAGAAGAUGUGGUUAGAAUCCUCGGGGACGGCACAGAGGGGGCAGAGACCAGAACCCGGGCCAUUACGCUUGCGGACCUCCACACCGGAGGGGAUCCGUCCCCGGAUCCACUGCCACAUGAAGAUACGGAUCUUCAGAGGGAGGCGGACGGACCAAACCAUUGAGAGGGGGGGAGGGGCGGCGGAGGGGGUAAUGACCGCAUAGAGCAAUUUGGUAGAGAACUGGACAGACGGCUCCAAAUGCCAUCGAACACGGUCUUGGACGCCGUCAACCAGCGGCUCAUGAAGAGCGACGCACUCAAGAAGCUCACGCCAGGCGGCGGAUUCCGUAGGCCCAAAUGGCCGACGGAAAGCGAGGCGCCCUAAGUCAAAUAGGGCCCUAUCAACAGAGAUCAUGGGGUCGACAGAGAUAGCAAAGAGAAUGGGGAAGCGAGCCGCAAAGGGGGCGUCAUCGGCCCUACGGUCAUACCAGAAUAACGUCGAACGGCCAGAUCCUACCGAGAUAGAGGUACCAAUGCGGAGCACAGGGAGGAGCUGGACAAGGGACUGCCAGAACUGAGAGCCACCCGACUUCUGGCAGAAGGCAAGGGGUUGGCCGCGCAGGUAUUUAUUCCGGAUAAUGUCCAGCCAGAGGCCCCCGUGGCCCUGCGAGAUGCGCCACAGCCAUCGGGAGAGGAGGGCAAUAUUCAUCCGUUUGGAGCACAUGAUCCCCAAACCCCCCUGCUCCCUCGGCUUGCAGAUGUCAGGCCAGCUGACCAUGUGAUACUUCUGCUUGCCGUGCUCCCCAGCCCAAUAGAAGCGGGACUGGAUUUUGGCGAUCUCCUUAUGAAGAGAAUCGUGAAGGCUGUAGAGACUCAUAAGAAAUAAGAGGAGACUGGAGAGGGAGGAGUUGAUAAGAAUAGUCCUGGCCGCCUUGGACAGCCACCUCCCCUGCCAAGGCUCGCAUCUAGUCUGGAGCUUGGUCACGGAGGGGCGAAGAUCGGCGGCCAGGAGGCGCGAGUGACUGAUGGGCGUCCCCAGAUAGGUAGAAGGAAACGAGCCCAAGCGGCAAUUGAGUCUAUUGGCAAUGGCCACUGACUCCUCGGGAGAGUAUCCCAUCACCAUAACAUCGCUCUUAUCAAAAUUGAUCUUGAGGCCCGACAUCUGCUGAAAGCAAAGGAGGAGGAAUUUGAGAUUGGCGAUGUCCAUCUCCGAGCCUUCGACCAUGAUGAUCGUGUCGUCCGCAUACUGGAGGAUGGAGAUCCCCGCGUCCCCGGAGAGAUGGGGGGCGAUGCCUCGGAGGUGGCCCGCAGCUUUCGCCUUAUCGAGAAUGGAAGCCAAAGCGUCCACGACCAUGUUGAAGAGGAACGGGGAGAAGGGGUCGCCUUGGCGCACCCCACAAAGGGUAGGGAAGAAGGGACCAAUUUCGCCAUUAAUAUUGACCGCCGUGCGACCGCAAGAGACCAUUUGCAUGACUCUCGUGAUCCAUUGGUCGUCAAAUCCCUUGCGCAGAAGGACUUCCCGAAGGAAGGGCCAGCUAACCGUGUCAUAAGCUUUGUGAAAAUCGAUCUUCAGAAAGACCGCCUUCAGGUGUUUGACCCGGACCUCAUGAAGAACCUCGUGCAGGACCAAGACCCCAUCAAGGAUGAACCGACCCUGAAUGAACGCCGACUGAUUAGGGUGAGUGAUCCGGUCGGCCAGCAGGGUCACCCUAUUGGCGUACCCUUUGGCCAAGAUCCGGAAGAUCACGUUUAUGACCGUAAUCGGGCGGAACUGGCGGAUGUCAGUCGCCCCAGGGACCUUGGGAAUGAGGGAGAUGGUCCCAAAGUUGAGGCGGCCAAGGUCGAUCGAGCCCACGAAGAAUUCCUCGAAAAUGGCCAUGAUCUCGGGUUUGACCACGCUCCAGAAGGUUUGGAAGAAGAGAACCGGGAGGCCGUCCGGGCCCGGCGCCGAGGAGGGAUUCAUACCCUUGAUAGCCUCCCAGACCUCUUGUACAGAGAAGGGGGCCGUCAAGGUGGCAUUGUCUUCGUCAGAGACUAGACGGUCGCUGGUCCAGCAGUCAAAGGCAAGAGAGAGGCCGCUCCGAGGAGCGGGGGAGAAGAGGGAGCGAUAGAAGCCAUCAACAUGGGCGCGGAUAUCUCGGGGAUCCUGAAGGAGAGUGGCUCCCUCCCAAAGGCAGGAGAUGGUGUUGCGUCUACGGCGCCCAUUUGCGAUCACCUGGAAGUAGGCCGUAUUCGCAUCCCCCUUCAAGACCCAACGUUGGGCGCCCCGAAUGCGCCAAUAAGCCUCCUCAUCAGAGUAAAUCACGGAGAGCUGGUCCUCGAGGUCAUAACGGGACAUCCACUCGUCAGGAGAGAGACCGAUCGCAUCAGCCCUGAAGUCGAGGUCCUGGAUCGCCGACAGGAGAGCCUUCUUCCGCUCCCUGGAGUCUCUUCCCAGGUUGGCUCCCCACCCCUUCAUAAAUUGUCGGGCACGCUUCGCACAGAAGUGCCACGCAUCUAUGGCGGAAGGGGGGCGGGGGUGGGGAUGGCCACGAGCCUCGAUCCAACGAGCACUGACAGCGUCGGAGAAUCCGGCCUGGGAGAGCCAGACAGCCUCAAAACGGAACCGAGGGGGAAUCGGGGGGCGCUCAUCCGCGGAGGAGAGAAGCAGGGGAACGUGGUCAGACCCAAUCCGGGUGACGGCAUGAAGAGAGGCUAAGGGGCACCGGAGGUCCCACUCGGGGGAAACUAGGACCCUGUCCAAGACGGAGAGGGUCGGGGAGGCUUGGCGGUUGGUCCAAGUAAAACGAGCCCCAACCCGAUCAAGCUCCCUGAGGGCGAGGUCGGCAAUGAAGUCGUUAAACAUGUCCAUCCGGGCAAAACUAACAUUGCCAUUGUUCUUGUCUUCCGCACACCGCAACAGGUUGAAGUCCCCCCCCCCGACAACUACGGGGAGGGAGGCGGCCGAGAUUUUCCGGUGAAGUUCCUCCAGGAAGGAGGCCGACCUACUAUGGUCAGCCGGACCAUAGACGAUGAUGAUCUCCCAUUUGAAAUUGAGAGAUCUCUCAAAGACCUCCAUGCUGACGAAGAAUUCGCCCCGGUCCAUGCUGCCCACCUCAAAGGUGGCAUCCUUCACGCCUAGGAGGAUGCCACCCGAGUGGCCUGCACUCCCACUAGAAGGGAGCCAGUGCCACGCAAAUAGGUGAGAGCUCAGCCGGUUGAGCUCAGGGAGCGCAAAGUCCCGGCGCAUGGUCUCCUGCACGGCCACUAGGUCGAUGCGUUCAUCGCGCAAGUACUGCACUAACUGGCGGCGUCGGCCAUCAUGGCCGAAGCCGCGGAUGUUCCAGAAUAGGGCAUGCGUCAAGGAGCCAUUGGGGGGCUGCUUGACCCCAAGACACGAGACGCGCUGAGAGCGCGGAGGGCCGCCGUGCGGGAGCGGGUGCGACCCCGGAUCACCAGCUCGGCCCCCGAAGGGCGGGGGGCCGCCUGCCGCGUCCGAGGAGGGGGGGAGGGGUCUCUAGGGGGCGCCUGGGCCGGGGGAGGGGGAGCCGCAAGGGCCGCUCGGGCCUCUGCCAGUUUCCCAUCCAGAAUCUCCCGGGCCCGAAUGGCCCCAAUCUGGGCGAGGGGGGGACCCACCUCCCCACGGAAGAUGAUCGCGGAAUCGGCGACCACUUGGGCGAGAUGGCCCAAAGGGACAGAUUCAAGAGCAGAGAAGGAGCAAGACGAAGCAGAAGUAGAAGGGGGGGCGGAGGGCGUACCUGGCUCCAGGUUGCGGGCGGCAGCGCGAAGCUCAGCCCGCUCGGAGAUGGGGAGCGCCGGGUGGCCCGCGGGGUGAGCGGCGUCCAACCGAGCACUCCUGCGUCCGGCGACCACCGGGGAAGAGGCCGACCGGCCGCGGCGGGAGUAGGCGGCAGACCGAGGAGGGGGAGGCUGGGCCACCAGGGGGGUGAUGAUCUGGGCCGCCACCUCCCCAGAGGGCGACGAGGGGGGGGCCACCAAUCCCGGCCCAGCACAGNNNNNNNNNNNNNNNNNNNNNNNNNNNNNNNNNNNNNNNNNNNNNNNNNNNNNNNNNNNNNNNNNNNNNNNNNNNNNNNNNNNNNNNNNNNNNNNNNNNNNNNNNNNNNNNNNNNNNNNNNNNNNNNNNNNNNNNNNNNNNNNNNNNNNNNNNNNNNNNNNNNNNNNNNNNNNNNNNNNNNNNNNNNNNNNNNNNNNNNNNNNNNNNNNNNNNNNNNNNNNNNNNNNNNNNNNNNNNNNNAGGUGGCGAGGAGAUGAUGGAGGCUGGGGGAGGCGAGGCCGGAGGGGGGGGCGUCCGCAGGAGACGGCGACCCACCCUCAGGGGCCGCCGGCGCGGAGGGGAUGGGGCCGCCGGUCGGGUCGACAGGAGCCACCUUCGGAGCCGGGGGAGAGACGGGGGAGCGCGGAGAGGAGGCCGGGCAGACCACCAGGCCGACACUGGAGAUGUCGCUCCCCUCGGACGAUGACCCGUCAGGGAUCGGGGGGUCAUCAGCGGAGGGGCCUGGGGCGGCCUGGCGGCCCUUGCCCCCCGGAGCCGGAGGGGGGGGCGAGGGAGGAGGAGAGUGGGAGUCCUCGGACUCCCCCUCCUCGUCAGAGCAGUGGGAGCGCGAGUGGUGACGGCCGUGGUAGUCUCCGUCGGCCCCCCGGAAGUCGUCUGGGGGACCGACGUCGAGGGAGCGGGGGCGCCCAACGUGGUUGGGCGGCUCGGGGGCGAUCCUGAGGUCGAAGCCCUGGUCGUUGAAGAAGACCCGGACCGAGGUGUGCAGCCUGGUGGAGUCGAGACACUUGACUUUGACCCUGACCUCCUCCUCCUUGCGCAGUGAGAGCUCAUCAACCACCACCACCUUGCCCAAGAGGCGAGACAUCUGGCGGAUGACAAGCUCUGACCGCGCGAUGUCAGGGAGACCGGAGAUGAGGAUCCAAGCGGUGUCGAGGACGGCCACGACCUGGGCGUCGAGAACAGGCUCGGAGAUCUCAACCACCAGUUGGUUGAGGGCGAGGGUGAUCCGGCCACUACGCGUGCCGUAGCCGUAGCUGACGGAGUCGGGGAAGACGACGGAGAAGAUGUGGCUGGCGGUGGGGAUAACCACCCAGUCCCACUGACAACGGUAGAGGUGGUUGAGCUCGGCCUCGAUCAUCUCCGGGGAGGCCACCCCGUCAACGACCGUGACGAUCGCCUGAAGAGAGGGCGAAGGCGGAGGGGCAUCCGGGACCUCAAGGUGGAAGAAGCCCAACCCCUCGAUGUCGUGGCCAUACAUCAUGAGCUCGGACACCACCGGUCUGUCCGGACACAGAAUGGCGGGGUGGCCCGGAUCCUUGCAGAGGUAGCAGCACUGGGGGUUGACACAGGCAACCUGGGAGUGCCCCCUCACCCCACAGUUGAAGCAAGGGGGGCGAGGAAGACCGGAGACGGGGCCCGGAGCGGAGGGGGCCCCCGGACCCGAGGAUGGAGGGAUGGUCGGAGUGGGUCGGGCACCCCGACGCUUCUUCUUCUUGGCGGGGCCAGGGCGGCCGCGGGCGGGAGCGCCCCCAGAGGCCGGACCCGGGGCCGAGGACCCCGAGGCAGCGUGAGGCGGGACGUAGCGGCGGGUGUCCGGAGUGGGGAGGAUGCCAUCACGAACCGGACGGGCGGGGGAGGGGGACCGGUCCCUACGACGGGAGGGCGAGGGGGAGCGCCGGCGGCGCCAGUUGCCCGACGACUCUCGGGGCGAGCGUGACCGGGCCCGGUCAUCCCGACGGGAGGGGGAGCGGCGGCUGUCCCGGAGCUCCCGGAGCUCGCGCCGGAGCUCCUCCUCCCGUCGGAGGGAGUCGGGGGAGGGCCGGGACGAGUCGCGAGAAUCACCCCCCGCUUUGCGCUUCGCCCGGGGAGCCAGGUCCGCCUGGUCGCGCGGCAUGGCGAGCCGCAACCGGGCGGGAGGGGGCAGGGCGAGGCGGGCUACCGGCGUCAGAGAAGCCGCCGGACGGCCAGACGAGGGGGGAGGCGCGGCGAGAGGUGGAUGCGGGGCGAGGGCGGGAGCAGAAGGGGGCGGGGGAUCGGGGCGAGACGAGCCCGAAGCAGGGGAGGCGGCGCGCGAGGGAUGGGCGAGGGAGAGGCUUCGAGGGAGCCAGAAGGCGCUGGCCGGCACCUCCCUNNNNNNNNNNNNNNNNNNNNNNNNNNNNNNNNNNNNNNNNNNNNNNNNNNNNNNNNNNNNNNNNNNNNNNNNNNNNNNNNNNNNNNNNNNNNNNNNNNNNNNNNNNNNNNNNNNNNNNNNNNNNNNNNNNNNNNNNNNNNNNNNNNNNNNNNNNNNNNNNNNNNNNNNNNNNNNNNNNNNNNNNNNNNNNNNNNNNNNNNNNNNNNNNNNNNNNNNNNNNNNNNNNNNNNNNNNNNNNNNNNNNNNNNNNNNNNNNNNNNNNNNNNNNNNNNNNNNNNNNNNNNNNNNNNNNNNNNNNNNNNNNNNNNNNNNNNNNNNNNNNNNNNNNNNNNNNNNNNNNNNNNNNNNNNNNNNNNNNNNNNNNNNNNNNNNNNNNNNNNNNNNNNNNNNNNNNNNNNNNNNNNNNNNNNNNNNNNNNNNNNNNNNNNNNNNNNNNNNNNNNNNNNNNNNNNNNNNNNNNNNNNNNNNNACGGAGAGGGGGGAGGGGGGAAGGGGGCGUCGUCCGCGCAGUCGGCCCACCGGAAGGAGGCGCCCAGGGCAGCCGGCGCGGGGAGCGGCGGCGGAGCCGCGGGCGAGGGGGCCUGCAGGGAGGGAGAAGGGGAGGGCGACAGAGGAGUCUCGGCGGCGGCGGCGCAACCGGCUGCGGGAGCGCCCGCGGUGUCGCCCGUCAUCUUCCGCCACUUCCGUGCUUUUAACCCAACUCAAGCUGAAGAAACUUAUUCAAUGGUCACUGCUAACCGCUUUUGGUCCCAAAUCUUUGAUGCUCCUUUUUCCAAUAAACGCUGGUUACAUUUCUUUAUGCUAUUUGUACCCGUCACCGGUUAAUGGAUGAGUGCUAUUGGCGUAGUUGGCUUGGCUCUGAACUUACGUGCCUAUGACUUUGUUUCCCAGGAAAUCCGUGCAUCGGAAGAUUCUGAAUUUGAGACUUUCUACAUCAAAAAUAUUCUUUUAAACAAGGGUAUUCGUGCGUGGAUGAAAGCUCAGAAUCAGCCUCAUGAAAAUCUUAUAUUUCCUGGAAACACUCUUUAAUGGAACUUUCGUUUUAGCUGGUCGUGACCAAGAAACCACUGGCUUUGCUUGGUUGGUUGGGAAUGCCAGACUUAUCAAUUUGUCCGGUAAACUUCUUGGAGCUCAUGUAGCCCAUGCCGAAUGAAUCGUAUUCUGGGCCGGAGCAAUGAACCUAUUUGAAGUGGCCCAUUUUGUACCAGAAAAGCCCAUGUAUGAACAAGGGUUGAUUUUACUUCCACACUUAGCUACUCUAGGUUGGGGAGUAGGGCCCGGGGGGAGGGGGGGAAUUCUAGAUACUUUUCCGUACUUUGUAUCUGGCGUACUUCACCUAAUUUCCUCCGCAGUCUUAGGCUUCGGUGGCAUUUAUCACGCGCUUCUGGGACCCGAGACUCUUGAGGAAUCUUUUCCAUUCUUUGGUUAUGUCUGGAAAGAUAGUGUGACUUUGUACUAAAUCAGCGACACUUAUUUUGGGACGGAGGGAGUAUAUCAUUAUUAGAAAGGCAUCUGAGAAUCACUAUGACUGUGAAGAUGAUAGAAGCCUUGCAUCCAGCGCUAAUGUGGUUUUUCAUUAAUAUUUUUUUAUCACAACAUAAGCAAAUGUGUUUUCUCUUCUUACGUCUUGAUGACAUUAAGACUGAUAGCUCCUUGCAAGAACAGAUCUAAGCGUUUAUUUCUUCAACGCAAAAGCGAAUGUUUUGUUUCUGUGCAUUUCUGCAGCCCAGGCUCAUAUGCUAUUUUUAUUUACAAAUUAAUCGUGCACCAAAUGGAGUAUAUGCCAUUUUAUCCUAGGGCCGUAAUGAUGUUAAGAUUUUGAUGGAUUUUGUACAGUACCGUAAUUUACUAUUAAUAAUUCCUAGUUUGUAUGCCACUUUCUCCAAUAUUUUCCUCUAGGUUUCUUUGCUAUGAUAUGCCGAUCUUUGGAGGGAGCCAAAAACUUACCUUAAAUCUGUCAAUUUCCAUUUCAUUCAUCUUUCACGUUGCAAGCAAUGGACAUGAAAAACUGUCUGUUUUUACUUCCCAGAUGUGAUGGUAUGAGCAACUCCAAUAGCUCCUAUAAAAAUCUUCCUAAGAAGUCGUCUUACGGGGUGUCUGUACAAUUUAGGGGAGGUUGAUGGAUGACUAAUUUCUCAGUUCCCGUAAACAUGUACCCCUAGAAUAUGUUUUUUUUCCUAUUUCUCUUUUAAAAUUGGUCCAUAACACAAGGUACCUAACAUGUCACUGAGAAAAUGAAAGGUGAUGUCGGUCAGGGAAGGUCCGACGAAGUGGGCGGGGAGGCGCAGAGAAGGUCUGGCGAGGCGGCUGGCUGGCUCGAAGAGGUAGGCAGGCGACACUACCAGCGGCAGAGCAGUGGCUGCAGGGAGAGGUGGGCGGGCUGAACAGCGGGCGGUCGCCAGGCGUUGGCGGACAAGUGCGGGCGGCAGGUGAGGCGGGCCGACGGCGAGGGGGCUGCGUAGCGGCGCGAGGGUGUUCGAUGUGAAAGUUCAGGCAGUUUCAGCCCACCAAAAUUAUAUGGGAAGGGUCAUUUUCCUGUAAACGCAAGGAAAGUUUGGGGAAAUUAUAAGGGAUCCUGUAAAAGUUUCCGGGUUUACCGGACUUGUUGGAAAAUUAUUGGAGUUUACAGAUACAAGAACUAUUGGAGUUACUCUGAGUAUGAUCAAAACAAAUGUAACAUGAAUAUUAAGUCCUACUACAUGGAGGUUGGUUACUCUGGACUAGAUCAUUCAUGAUUAUCCUGUUUGCAAAUGCAACUUUCAUUCAACCAGUCACUCAUUCAUGAACUUCUGUCCAUUCCUUCAUUUCCGGCAUGGAAUUGGAAACUAAACAUGCAUGUAGAAUGAUCCAGAGUAACCAACUUUCAUGUAGUGCCAAGCAAGGUCACAAGACUCCGCAGUUUAACCUGAACGGCUCAUUCAACACAUAUACCGUGCAAAGAUUUUUUUUCUUCCUAAAAAGAGGUAACAAGGACUAGAGAUGUGUACAAGUAUUAUAUAUACCCAUGCCUUAGGAUGUCAAGUUGGGUGUGAUAUGGACAUGUUUAGCUUCAGUCCAUUUAAGAUAUUGGAGGUAAACAAAGAAAAUGGGAGAGUCAAGGUCAAGGAGGUGAAGGGAGAAUAGACUGAUUAGGACCACCAAUUUCUUGUCUUGCUUGUAGCCUCGAUGGUGUAGGAACUGUCGAUGGUGAGUUUGUCGUGAAGAGAGAAAGGAGAAAACCGCACUUGAAGAUUAGUUGCUUCUGCUCUACAGCUAUGGUUAGUGUAUGGUAUACAUAUCCUCUAUACAGGCGUUACCACCUACUUCUUUUGUUAGUACUGCCGUUCCAUCAAUCAUAAGUCUUUCAGCCGAUCAAUUAUGCAACUUGAUUAUUUUUAUCAACAGGUGACUAUAUUUGUUCUACAGGUUGUAGUGAUUGUCCUAUAUGUACCUGAUAUCUCCUCGGUAGCCUGUCUAGAAAUUGUCGGCAUUGUGCACUACACAAUAGCAAAAGCGAUACUAGAUGGAUGAGAUCAAUUUGUUACUUUUAUACUACAUUCACCAUUUAGCAUCAAUAGUUAAUAUACAAAAUGAAAAAUAUUUCAAGUUGUAUAAUAAAGUGAGAGUAUGCUUUAGUCAUGCUUGGUCUUUAGUAUGACCACCUAGCCCCGUUGAGGGGAUCUCGAUCGGACUGUCAUUGUUGUUGUGUGGAUGAGGGCGGGGGGAGAAGGCCUGGUUUCUCCCGUAGCAAAUGGAUAUAGUCGUCACUGAUGUUGUCGGUGUUUGAGAGCUUGGUUAAGUGAACCUGAAGAGGCGGGAAAUAUGUCAUUUUUCUCUCUUGGAUCAAAUGUCCCUUGUAAAGCGUUAUCUUUCUACCGUGGAUAUGAGAAAAAUAAUUUAAAUCAACAUCCGAGUAAUAAUUGCCAUAACUAUUAUUUGAGUCUGCUGGUGGCACAUGUGUUCUCUGCAGCGUGCCAGUGGUUGUGACACGUACGAGAGUGAGUGCGUACAUAUGUGGCUGUAUAUAGACAAUGCAGCUUGGCCACAUGUGGUGGGCAUGCCACUUAUUGCAAAAAGACCUGAGAAGAGAAGCAACAUCUUUGCCCUUGUGAAACACAACACACCACCGGCACUAGUAUGCAUAUUUAGCUGACAGGUGAACACAGUUACUACCUAGCUAGGGUCCCUGGGUGCUUAUAAAUAACAUCCCUGUGGAUGCUCCUUUAAAGGCACACCACUCACGCAGUCACGCUUAGCGUCGAUCUUCACACACUUCUUCUUCAACAUGCCUCCAGAUUCACCUACCCUCGCUCUCAAAGCGGCCACCAUUCUCGCCAUGCUUGCCAUGGUGAUCCUUCCAUCCGUGGGGAGCUCCCCGUCGCUGGGCCAAGAAGAACUAGUAACGACCCCGGCACCAGCAUCGGGUCCGGCGCUGGCGAUGCGGUGCAGCGAGUGUGGCCCACACUGCACAGGGAUGUGCAGAGUCUCUGUUCCCCCGAAGUGCCGCAAGUACUGCGACGUCCCCAGCUGCGAGGACUGCCGGUCUUCCGCGAUCGGCAAGUGCAGGGUAGGUUGCACCACUAGUAGCUGUGACUGCGACGGUGAGGCGACCCGGUCAUGCUAUGGCUUUUGCUCUGGCAGUUCUUCGUGCGCGGACUGCAUGAGGCUAACUAGUGAGCAGUGCACGAGUGAAUGCAACGGCAAGUGCGCCACCACUUGUACGAACAAAAUCAACCAAGGCAAAUAGGUCGGCUGGGCCUCUUGGUAUGUAUCCAUACCAUCUACGUAUGGUAUGGAUGUUGUAACUGCCAUAAUAUCGUACCUUUUUUGCAGUCAAAUAAAAAUCUGGUACCUUUCCUUUACUCCUUGUCAUAAAAUACCUCGCAAAUUAUUACUUGAUGGUAAUUUCAUUUGGAAUUACAACGCGCAUGUCAUGUGAUAUUUGUAUCUUUUACCAUAUUUAGUUUUUCGUUUCAUAGGAUAUAUUAGAUUAAAGACCUGAACAUAGAUGGUGGUGGUGGUGCUACCACACUGCCACUACUGACAAUGUUGCCACUUACUACUAGCACCACUACUACAAAUGUUGUCACUUACUACUAGCACUACCAUUACCACCACCACUACCUAAAUUUCAGUGAAAUGGAUCAUUCAAGAUCUACCACCAACACCACCACUACAACCUAAAUUUCAGUGAAAUGUUAGUACAAUAAAAGUAGCACCGACAUACAAUGGUUCAAGCAAAAUUUCAUUAUCAUAGAAUCAUCUGUGAUAAACUUGAGUAAGUAUGGUUGAUAGGAAGCAAUAGCUUCAUUUUCUCACAAUAAUUAUAAAAGACAAAUUGGAGACAUUAAAAUUUGAUUGCUAGCAUGAUCAGAUGCAUAAAGUCGUGCUUCGUGAAUAAAUUAAAAUUUUCAAUUGUAUGGAAGCAAGGCAUCAACAAAGUUGUGCUUUGUGAAUAAAUUAAGAUUUAAAUUGUAUGGAAGCAAGGCAUCAACGGGAAAAGCUUAUUUAUUAACUGAAGUAUGGCAAGUGUUAGGAAGCAUGAAAUUAUAUGGCAGCUCAAGAUAACUAUUUUUGGUUGGGAGAUAAAACAUUUGUAAUGUAGAACAUACUAAUACUGUGGCCAAUAAGAGGAUGCAUGUUUUGUUACGCAUAGAUAGGAAUUUAACCGAUUUACUAUUGUCUUGCACAAUGCACCAUUAGGUAUGAAUGUGACACAAACGGGAGAAACUGAACUCCCCGACGUGGGAUAUGGCGCGUGGUCAUGACGGGAAUGGAUCGAGCCAGGGUCAUCGUCACUCCACACGAUAUCACCUCCAUUGUCAGCCAUCAUCGCGAGGACACACAAAACUAACAGAGAAAUCACAAUCUACAUGCCAUGCAAAGAUCCAGGGUGCCCCAUCUCUCUGAGUAAGGGUAUAUGUUUUUUUAAUAAGGGCGGUAAAUGUGUUUGUUUAGUAACAUGGGUUUUUUUCUUUGAGGGAAAUGAUAGAUGGGGUUGAAACAGAGGCCCACAGGUGGAGCGAGUAAUUAGGCCCAACAUACAGGAACCAAAUUCUGAACUGGGCCAUGUUUUUCCCAGACCCAACGUCACAAGCCCAGCUCACAGUUGGCCUUUGUCUCAAAAAAAAAUACCUCACAGUUCGCCUAUCUGCGUCCUCCUCGCCAUGGCUCAAGGUACUCACUCACCCCCACUACCGCCAUGGCUCAAGGUACUCACAGUUCGGCACCAGCUUCNNNNNNNNNNNNNNNNNNNNNNNNNNNNNNNNNNNNNNNNNNNNNNNNNNNNNNNNNNNNNNNNNNNNNNNNNNNNNNNNNNNNNNNNNNNNNNNNNNNNNNNNNNNNNNNNNNNNNNNNNNNNNNNNNNNNNNNNNNNNNNNNNNNNNNNNNNNNNNNNNNNNNNNNNNNNNNNNNNNNNNNNNNNNNNNNNNNNNNNNNNNNNNNNNNNNNNNNNNNNNNNNNNNNNNNNNNNNNNNNNNNNNNNNNNNNNNNNNNNNNNNNNNNNNNNNNNNNNNNNNNNNNNNNNNNNNNNNNNNNNNNNNNNNNNNNNNNNNNNNNNNNNNNNNNNNNNNNNNNNNNNNNNNNNNNNNNNNNNNNNNNNNNNNNNNNNNNNNNNNNNNNNNNNNNNNNNNNNNNNNNNCUGCGGUCCUGUCUUCAACCUCUCUGGUGUCCUCUUCUGACCUCCCGUCUUACUUCCUCCGGCCUCGUCAAUGGGUACGACGACGGAAGCCAGUCCGGCCUUCCCGUCAACACAAGGUAUCAGUCCUGUUCGUCCAUUUCUUCCGCGAUUCGUCUCACAAGAAUUUAAUUGAAGGGGCACGCCCAAUGGAUGAAUCAGCAAGGUUAGGAAACAGAAUUCAGUUGCAUAGCCUGACGGACAGUGAUGUAGAUGUACAUAUGUGCUUUUCUAGCUUAACAACUCUGCGCUUUCUGUGGAUAUCACUUCAAAUAAUCAUCAAAUUUUCCAUCUGCGACAUCACUAUCAGGCGGACGGGAGGCAAUUGGCUUCGAAGUUCCGUUUCUUGAUGAAGUUCAUCCGCUCAGUGGCGGAGUUAUAUCCAGAAACAGAAAGGUGCCAUAGCACCCGGGUGGCCCGACACCCCCUAAUCCGGUUCGUCGAGUGACUUCAAGAUUCGCGUCGUGGAAUAGUUAGUGCAAGCCGCAUGCAUUGUCAGGUUAAUUUACUAGGCAAUUUGCAGAGACAAAACAGGACCUGUAGUAGCCUGUAGCAGGCAGUGUAGGGCCGGCAGUAGUGGGCACGGGUAGGCUAGAGAUAGCCCUGGACGAGGCUAGGUGGCCUAUCGGGAGAAAAGACAACACAUUCAAAAAUCAAGGACGUCGCUAACUGUCACAUGUGUGGCAGGAAAGGAGACGCACUACACGUCUCUUAUGCAAAUAGAUUACCACGUCAUCGCAUGCAUGCAUGCGAGAAUUGUUUUUGAUUUUCAGUUUUUAAAAUGUUUUAUCUCUUAAAUGAAAAAUCCGAUUGAAGAUUCGUUUUCAUCAUUAAAUCCCUCGCGACGAGAUCUACAAAACUAGAUCUCAUAUCGAUAUAUUUUGGUGAAUUUUUUUGGUCAAAAGUUGCCAUGUCUAUUGCACAUGAAUUUCCAUGAUAUUUACAUUGAAGUUGCCAUGAUAUGUUUCAACUAUUUUCUUUUACAUUAAAAUGUAAAUUUUAACAUAUUAUAAAACGGAGAAUUAAGAAAUUAGACUUGCCAUGCACCAUAAACUAAAAUUGCCAUGAUACAUGCACUUAAAAUUGUCAUGGUUCAAUAAAAAAAUAUUUUCAUGGUCAAAGUACUGGAAUUGCCAUCAUCAAAAAACUAAAAUUGCCAUGAUCUACAAACUAAAAUUGCCACAUGACAACUUUAGCUUAAGCACUUUGGCAACUAUAGUGUAAACAUCAUGGCAACUUCCGGGCAAAAAAAAAAUCAUCGAAACAUAUCAACAUGGGGUCUAGUUUUGAAGAUCUCGUCGAGACGGAUUUAAUGGUGAAAACGGAUUUUUAGUUUACUUUUUUAUUUAGGAGAUAAAACAUUUUUAAGCCGAAAACCAAAAAGAUUUCUGCUGAUGUCAUCUAUUUAUACGUGGCAAAAUGAGUGGUGAUGGAGGCGUGUGAGCGAUCUGCAAACGGCCACACGUGUGGGCGUUAGUUUUUCCGAAAAUCAAUACACUGUGGAUGCAUUGGCAGCAUUAGAUUGCAAAUAUGAUCGUAGCCAUUAAUAUUCUAAUCCCACAUUUUCAUGAUCUAAUUUCUAAAGGACUGGACAACAUGUUAUAGCCUUAUAUAGGGCUGAGCCACCAAAUCCACAUUUCUCUCGGUAUAAUUUCUAUAUGUUAAUCUGCAGCAUCUCCCGAUGAACCUAUUUUAGGAUAAGAAUUUUUUUAGAGCAUUUUUUGAUGUUUUUUUUUAUAAAAUCAAAUACAAUUCAGUGCAUUCCACAGUAGGUUUUCUGCCCCUAGCUAGUGGUAAAGAACAAGUUCAAUUCAGUCUUAUGAUGUUAUUAUUGAUGCCUUGUUCAAAUCAAAUGGACAAGCAUGUACUGUACUAAUCAGUGAUUUAUAUCUUAAUACCGAAAAUUUGUGCUGAUUUAUGAAUUUGUUGAUCCCGAGGUUCUGCUAAUCCGUGUACUAAUAUUUUUUUUGGGCAAUUUGGGUUAUUUUGGUCUCAUUAUGAGGACUGUGCUAAUAUGUGUUACAAAUAUGUUGUUGUGCCGACUAAUUUGUGCUAAUUCUGAAAAUAUGUGCGUCUAAUCGCCAAUAAUAUCAUGUGUAAAACCAAAAUGUCAUCGUUCUUGAGGACAUGAAAGCGCUGAUUCCAUGCUUUUCCUGCUGAUAUGCACUUUAGUAUAUGAAAAUGUACACUUACGUGGUGUUUAAAUUUUCAACUCACACUUAUAGAGACGUGCAGUGCACCAGCCAACUGGCGCAAGCUGUACAUUGACGGCAUACAGUUUCGGUCUUCCGGUCAACAUAAGUUAUCAUUCGUGCUAGUCCGUCUUUCUGUGACACGAUUAGCAUGACUUAAGAGGCACACCCAUCUACGUGCCAGUUGCCUGAAUCAGGAGGGCGAGGAAGCAGAAUUCAGUUGUGUAGCGCAACAGUGAUAUAUGUCUGCACUUUGCUAGCUGAAUAACUCUGUGCUCUAUGUGUACGUCACCUCAAGUACUCAUCAAGAAUUUACUCCUGCACGCGCUAUGCAGGUGGAGGAGAAGCAGUUCGCGUGGAAGUUCCGUGUCUCUGAUGUCUGAGAAGAAAGCUCUUACAGAGUUUUCGUCCGCUUGGUGGACUGGAGCGACAUCCAAGUUAAUUAUAGUGUCCAGUCAUCCCUAUAUUUCAGUGUUUCUUCUGUUUUGUACCAUCACAUUUCAUAUGUGCAUCGGAGGAAAUGUGCAUUCUACAUGAUGGAGAGGAUCAUGUCACACAGUCCCCAUUUACAAAGCCAUAGGCAGUGGCUGAAGAAUUUUUCUUCUAGUGUCACUGUUGUUCUAACUCUCUGUCUUCGAUUUUGGUGCUUCCGUAGUACGGUUGCAAAGCUAGGCUUCAUCUGAUUUUAGUUAGCUAAGCUGAUAAAGAGAAUUCCACAUGGCCCUUUAUUUCCAGCUUUCACUGUCUCACAAUAACAACACAUAUUAAGCUCACCAAACUAGAUCCAUACUCAUAACUUACCUUUCAUCAUUGAAUAACUGGAGAUUGCCAAGUUGUCUUUUAUCAUGUCAGUAUAUUAAGUAUUAUGUAUUUUCAUAUGAAGAAGAAAUAAUCAUCUGGGAUGUGGAGUUUCGGUGCUCGGGCGCAGCUGUACCCGAAAUCCCACUCGUUGGUUGUCGUCUGGGGAUUCCCAUAAUGUCCUCUGACAAGUCUGCAGCGAUGCGUUAGUAAUUCGGUAUACGGCGCGGCAGCGUAUGGUACAGUGCCUGGGCGCGGGCCCGAAUCGUAGGUGUGGCGAACGUCCCGUGUGCUUAUAAAGUUAUAAUUCUGGUCCGUUGACCAGAUAGUUUAGCUGUAGGCUGAGCCGUGGAGCAUGGGUUUGGCUCAGGAUCGCGUGUCUCGACGGCGUGUGUGACACACGAUCGUGGGGCCGCAGUUAUGGAGAGGCAGCUGCCGACAACUGAACCCCGCAAACCCUUCCUCUCGGCGGUUCUCGAAACCAGCCACCGCCGCGGGUCAGCUAUAAUCCAUCCCCAUUGCCAUUGAUGGCUGUUGCGGUAAGCGACGAUGGAGGACGCUGGCCUGGACUUCCUGCUGGACGCGGUCGACAGGUAAGAGAACUAUGCCCAAAUUCGAGAUCUAUCGUUUUUUUGGCGGCGAGGAGGAUACUGGUCGACACCUGAAUAUUUGGUGCUCCUCCACGUCUUGGACAUGUAUUUGCAGAUUUCCCCUCUGUAAAGACUUUGCAGAUUGCUUGGAGCACCCAGAUCCGGUUCCUCUGGCGCGGAUUGAUGCGCCGAGCGUUCAGCAGUCUGAAUCGAACGCUGGUUCCGGGUGCGGGCAGCUAGUUGGCGGCUGUAGCCAGGAGCGGCAAGCAGGCGAUGGGAGCCGUCGCCGUGAGACAUCUCCGGCGAGGUCCGCACAGUCAACAGACCAGUCCCGCAAGGGUGAACCCGGAGGCGCUGGGGUGGACAAAAAGGUUCUGUAACCAUUGCAUUCCGUCUGCUCUGAAUUUUUUCCUGGAGUGCAACUCCAUUUGUCCUAGUACGGAGUGUAGUUCACUGCCAUGAUAUCUGUAACAAACUGUGACAGACUGACAGUAAUUGUUUUUUGAUGAACGGUUGGCAGAUACCAGGCAUGCUGAAUGUUGUCUCCAGCAGGGGAUUAGUCACUCGAUUUUAGGCAUGUCAACAAAGGUGCAUGUAUAGGUACAGACAAGGAAAUGUUAUUCAGAGUUCGUAGAUUCAAAAAUCUAGAAACCCAUAAGAAGUGGAACUCUAGUUGACAAAAUAAGCAGGAGGCAUGAUUUUUGAAUUUCACGGCAGACCAUCAAUAGUACAUAGGAAAAAUGUAUUUCCUGUUUAAACUGUGUUUGCUUUCGUUCAGGUGUCAAUUUUUUUGAAUAAGUUGAAAGUUUGUUUCCAUGGUUAGUGUGAGCAUCCCCGUCAUCAGAAAACAUAUUUUGCAUCUGAUAUCCUGAACUGCUUUUGGCGCAUUUCAGGUUACUGAGACUUAUAAUUAUGUGUUGUUCGAGUACCAGCCCCGCCUUCCAGGCCCUGUCUCCUGUUGUGCACAACUUACCAAGCUUGCAUUUUGAUGUAAAAUCAGGUUGCGUCUUGACAGUGCGCCACCAGACAGAACCCCGCGUGCAUCAAGGAUGAGUGCUCUAGAGACGUCGUUUCGCAAGUUUGCCGAGGAACCAACGAAAAGUGUGGUUCGUCCUGAAUUAGGAUUAAAUUUUGAUUCACUUGGUGAGGCGUAUAACUUCUACAAUUUGUACUCAAGGGAGAUCGGUUUCGGGAUAAGAUAUGGGAAAAGCAUGUUGAACGCAGAGAUGGUGAAAUCAAUGCAGGAGAUUGUUGGGAGUAGUCUAGGAAACAUUCUUGCACAUUGGUUGGGUUUCGAGUUUUGUUGCAUUAUAUGGAAGUGUUGGGAGUAGUCUAGGAAACAUUCUUGCAGAUUGGUUGGGUUUCGAGGACCGUCAGGGAAACAUUCUUGCAGGGGGGCUGCCUGGGAAUGGUAAAGUUACGAUACUAGCAAAUGGUGGUGCUGACUGCGAAAUGGGCCCAACUCAGUCGGUCAGUGUGAAUGCCCUAGUAGGAUUAGCUCCACCAGAUAAACAACGAGGGGCUGGCAGGCCAACGAAUAGCUGAGAUAAAGCACCAUAUGAGGGUUUGAGCAGGCGAACACGGUUCUGCAGUAUUUGUAGGUGCGAAGGACACAAGAGGACAACCUACCCCGACCGGGGAGAUGCCGCGAAGAAACGGCGCAGACCAGGGAAGUGCAAAAAAUGUGGCAUGAAAGGACAUCGCCGGAACACGUGCACGUGACCAAUUGGUGGGGUGCAGAAUCAAAAUUGUUAAACUAAUUAGUUUUAAAUUCUGUACUUGCAGUAUGAGGAUUUUCCGGAUUUUCCGGUGUAUCUCAGUGAGAUGUGCUCCAACGCUUGUUCCUCCAGUUCUAGACAUGCAACUAACUUGUGUAAAGGAGAAGAACUUGGUUCGGCAUUGUUGAAUAUCUGUGGUGGAUACACAUUUUACGUUGCUGUGUGUGUUCUGAUCAGGAUUGCAAUGUUAUUUCUUUUCUGCUCACCAUGCGUGUCUGGGACUGAUGCGUUGUGUGUGUUUAUGCUCCAAGGGAUUCAAAAUUUGAAUCAUCUGUCGGAGUAGAUGAAGAAUCGUGAGGGGUUCAGGGGUGUCCUCCAACGCCCGCCCCACCCCCAUGAAGACAUGGCGAGCAGCUCAUUCCUUAGCAGGCAGCAGGCAAGGUUUGAAAAACCAGCACGGUGACCUGUGUUGAGUGGCGCCUACACCUGCAGGCGGGACGACGAGGAGCUCUGCCGGCGGUGGCGAGGGAGCAUGUAAGGAAGCACAGGUACGAGGUGUGGUUAAGUUUUUGUUUCGCUUGGUAACCUCUGCAUGCUUCGGCGUCUGUAUCUUCUGCAGCUGCCUGAAGCAAUUAGGACGAUGGCGUCAACCACUGGGGGAGCUAUGUGGUAUGCUGCAGGUGCCAUGGCCCCCCAGCCCAUGAAUAUUUUGUGAAGAAACACUGUUUAUGAUGACACAAAUUAAAAUAAAUACAGUGUUUAGCCCCUCUACACAAUUAUAUUUGGCUAUUUGCCCCCUCAGUAAUAUCUCGCUAGCUCCUCCGCCACUUGCGUCAACUGCAUGGAGCUGCACCGACCUGGGUGAUGGAGCUGCGGACGAUGUCGGCGAGGUGAGUAGGGGAACAACCUGUUUGUUAGUACUACGUAGCCUGGAGUGUAGGUAAGCACGUGGUGACGUGGACCAGUUACGACCAAGACGGCUGCUAACAAGUUUGAGACGGCUCAGCCAGGCACGGGAAAGAGAACUGAGCCGUGCGGAACCAGGUGUUCCGCUCGAUCGGGCCGGCUGCCAUCGCAAUUAAUGGAGUCACCUGCACCCCACAUUUAUGUAGAAAUACAGCCAAUAUACCCUGCAGUCGGGUGGCACAAAUCCCCAUGAGAUCGGACGAUGAUGAGUGCGGGAGCAGCUGAGGCUGAGCUCAGAAACCAAUUUUCGUAAUCAUCUGCCCGUAAUCAUCUGCACACUCUCAACCAACCUGAGAACAGCAUACAGAAUGAUGAUGUAUGUGGCGUCAUGGCAGCCGCACAUCGGAUAUAGGACGGGGUCAGGCAGCGCUAUUUUUUUCUAUUUACUCCCUUUACCGAACAGUACUCUCGGUAAACUACCUUGGCACGUAGCUACACCACCAUUUGCGUCGUCCCGUCUGAUCGCUUUUUUUUGCCGAGUGACCGUAUUUGAAACUCGGUAAAGACUUUGUCGAGUGUUCGACAAAUGGAUCUCGACAAAUUUCUGUUUGCUGAAAAGGGGUAUGCCGAGUGUCCUUUGCCGAGUGUUUUUGGCACCCACACUCUCAGGUUUUAUGGUUUCUACCUUAGGUUGCUUAUUUUGCAUUCUAUGAAGAACAAAUGUGGUAUAGUAUGAGAGCAUGAAAAGAGCAAAACAAAGUAAUGCGCAAACAAUAGCCCGCCCCCCUUCCCAGACACACACAAACACCCUGCUGCCAACAACUCCUUUUCCGUACCGAGCACAAUAAUUAUUGGAUUGAUGUAGCGAUUUUUUGCAACCACUCAAAGGACAUAAAAACAAGGAAAAAACUGGAAACAUAUUUAAAAUUAACUAGCUAGUGGUGUCCGUGAAGUUCAAGAAAAAGCUAGAUUUUUUCUCGACAACAAGUUAAUGUGCAAAGAAUUAAUAAAUGUAUUUGCAAAAAAAGAAAGCAAAUAGAAUUAACGAUUAAACCAGUUUAGGUUUUCACUGCAGACAAUGGUAGUAGUCGGAACCAGAUACAAACCAAUAAAAAACAGGAUCUCAAAUCUCCAACCAUUAAAGAGUUGUAUGUUAGUCCUAUCUUCUGUUCAACCCAAAUUUUACAAUAACACUAUUAUACUUAAAUCUUUAUUAUUGCAAUACAUAAAUAAGUAAUUAAUGCACCAGCUUGCGGUUGUAACCAGGCAAGAUGAACCUAUGAACUCGCAAGCAUGCCAAUCAGAUCGACAUCCACACAACACCGGUAUGAACAUUGUCUAGAUAAAACUUUAUUUGUAUUUUAUUCCAUAAUUUAAACUAGUUUGUGCGGGUCACACAUGACAUUGUGUGACACUUUAUUUGUCACCGCUACAUCGACAUAUCCAUCGACUAAGCAACGACAAUCCAACUAUAUAUUACUAGAGAUAUUUUCUUAUCAGUAGGCACCAACUCGGGUGCCAACGCCGAAUGGCACAAUAGUGGUGGUGCCGUACACCGGCACGUUGACACUGCACAUCGUUGGCAGGGUACGAAGUGCAAUGGAAGUCAUCACCUCAAGUUGAGCUAUUUGGUGUGGCUGCAACAAGGUACCCUGGGGUACCUGUUGUUGUUGAGGCCAUUGACCCAGUUGUUGUUGUUGAGGUUGUUGGAAAGAACACUGUCCGAGCUGCUUCUGUUGUUGUUGGGGUUGGGAGACACCUUGGACCGACUGUUGGGGUUGUUGCUGCUGAGGUUGGUUCAAACCCUGACCAUGUUGUUGUUCUUGUAGGACGAUCGAGUAGAUGAUGGCACGGAUUGCAUCGUAGCGUGAUUGUUCGGGGAUUUGCGGCAGCUGCCGGCAACAUUGUUGCUGCAUCACAUGGCAACUACUCUGCCACAACAUUUGCGACCUAGCAAGACUUUGUGGCAUUGCCACAGGGCUGCAUUGCUGCUGGAGGAAUACCUUGCAUGGGUUUAGCUGCUGCAAGAUAGAUGGCUGAACAGAUGGUAUUUGUUGUUGCGGUAGAACUGGUUGUUGGUGUUGUGAAAAUGGUGGUUGUUGCAGUAGAAUUGGUUGUUGUUGUUGCUGCGAAAAUGGUGGUUGUUGCUGCUGCUGAGAAAAUGGUGGUUGUUGCUGCGAAAAUGGUGGUUGUUGCGGUAAAAGUGGUUGUUGUUGCUGCGGAAAUUGUUGUUGUUGCUGCGAAAAUGGUGGUUGUUGCGGUAGAAUGGGUUGUUGUUGCUGCGAAAAUGGUGGUUGUUGUUGUGAAAAUGGUGGUUGUUGUUGCUGCGAUAAUGGUGGUUGUUGUUGCUGUGAACAUGGUGGCUGUUGUGGAAAUGGUUGUGGUUGUUGUUGGAUGGGUUGUUGUUGUUGGUACCAUAAUAUUUGUUGUAGUGGUAAUGGUUGUUGUUGCAAUGGUUUCUCCAAGCUAGGGAUGUGGCUAGUCUCCAUUUGUGCAAUGGCACUUGUCGCCGCAACGGCGAGGAGGGCAAAGAUGAGGAAGGUCUUCAUGGUGGAUUGGUGUUAAAUAGUGUUGCUUGGUUUUGAUGCUUGUGCUUGUGAUGAUCAUUAUACUUCAUGCCUAUUUAUAGUAGCCCGUGCACCAUCUCUUUCCUUCUUUGCAUCAGCUUUAAUAAUUGUGUUUGGAUGUUUCUGAAAUGGAUUUUUGGUACAUUAUGGUAGGUUGCACUAGCUAUAAGCGUACUUUUGGAUUGAUCAUCAAAGUUGCUUUUUGGUUGUGCAUAUGAUUAUACACAAAGUACAUGAUGUUUGAAGUAGAUGACUUGCCUUAUUCACUUUACAUGUCACGCAUUUAUCAGGAUAGUAUCACUUCUACACCCGAUUUGGGAAAAAGUACAUAAUCUUUGCUAUAGAUAACUUGCCUUAUUCGCUUUACAUGUCAUGCACUUAUCAGGAUAUUAUCACUUUUACACCCGAUUUUGGAACCUUGUAUAGGGUGUCAGCCUUAAACAAGAAAAGGAAAAACUUGUGUAGGACUAAGUUGCAAUCAUGUGUGGGUUGUUAGGAUAUGCUCCAUUAUUAAAGCCUUACAUGUGGAGGGUUCUUCUAGACUCGAUUGUUUUUUAUAGAACUAACUAUGUAUUGUCCUUUAAGAUGAUAAGAUAAACUGACACCUAUAGAGCAUGACAUGACUCAUCGAAUUCCCUUUACAUGUAAAGGAUUGUAAUUGCUUACAAGUCACUAACAUAUAUCCGGUCCUAACUCUAGACACAUCAUCAUUAGUUUGAUCUUUGUGUUAAGGAUUUUUAUUUGAUCAGAUCAUUCUUUUGGCGGACUAAGUUUGCAAUAUUGUGUAAAUAUUUCACGGGGUGCACCUGGUCUCUUUUACUAAAUCUUUGGGGCAGGAGGUUGAUAUUUAUUUGAAUUGUGUAGAACAUUUACAUAGGUAACCUACUAGAAUUAUUAUAUGUUCAUUAUACUAUGACGACAAACAUAUAUAGUUUGGUUUACUGUGGUUCAUGUUUAGGUGUAUAAGAAUGAAUUUAUGUAUAUCGAGGUACUUUAUCAACCCAAAAUGAAAAAUGCCAAACAUUUUAACAUUUUUCAUCAACAAACCUUUAGAACCCCUAUUCGCGGCUAUCCUCCUAGAUCAUGGACAACCAGCAUAUUUCAUUUGUAGGAUUUUGACAAGGUCUUGAUUCUCUCCCACAUAAAAUGUUCUAGAUUGUUUCAUGGCAACUUGUUUGUGCCCGGAUAUUUUCAAUCUUCUUAUCUAGGCCAUACAUAUGUUUUUCUGUCAUUAAUCUAUUAACUGCUGAAUGAAGAGGUCCCAAAUGAUAAAGAAAAACUAUGUUAGGAGUAUGGGCAUCUCCACCACUUGUUUCAAUAAAACCAGAGGAUUUUAUGAUUAUGAAUUUGGUUCGAAAUAUGUUAAUGAUAUGUGCACUCGAUCUGAGCCAAUAUCCGAUGAAUUGAAAAGUGUUAAAUGGCCCAUGGAUAAAUUUAUAUUUGUUCACAAGUAUCAGAAAUCUGGAAUGGUGACACUACAUAUUCAAUUCAAAUUUGAAAAUACAUCUGAUCCCAGCUACGGAGGUCGCCAUGUGCCUCAAAGGAGUCUCCAUCGCAACUCUGGUCGUCUGCAAUUACACUAGAUGGCAGGCUAGUCUGUCAUCCAUCGUGGGAAUCCGCCGACAGGGCAGGUCAGAGGUCCUGUGGUUGCAACUAGCAGGUUAUUCAUCCAAUCUAUGUCCGUCAGUUAGUGCUCGAUCCUGCAGUAAAUGGUACUUGUAUGGAUAUAUAGUUGCAGAGAGGAAUUUCUUUGACUAGUGUUCGAUCUGAUUGCUAGCUGGAUUGGUGGAGAAAUUGCUACUUCCUCGUGCUAGGGCAGCAGUGGACAAUUAGUACAGACAGACCUGGCAAAAAAAUCCAAUGCGUAUAUUAAGUGGAGAUAGUACUAGAUCUGAUGUCUGCAGGAGAUACUAGUAGAUGUUAUACUGCACACUGGCACAGUAUGAGGUCAUUAUGUUGUUCUGUACAAAGUCUGUCACUUAGAUGUACAUAUAUGAGUGACAACCGCAUAUAUAUUUCUUGCAAAAUCCAUGCUUCCUUGCAGGUGGAAGGCCCUCAUGGUGCCCCCGAGACAGAGCCUGUUCCCUAUUUGGUACGGUGAGUAUUGAAUCGAAACGCAAAAUAUGCACUUAUUGAUUUGUCGAUCUCACAUUAUAUGCAUCUGAUAGGAGAGGUUAUCGUCAGAGGUUGUGGAACAAUCUGAAGGACACUUGUGGUUAAGCAGCAGCAUCAGGUGAGGUGUUCAUGUCAGUCAGUUGGUGGUCAGACUGGCACUUGUUUAAUUUGGAUGGUACAAUUUUCUAUUCACAUUGGUAAAUGCCAAUGGACAAUGACCAGCUUGGAUUCGCAUGUUGAAUUUGGAUGAUACAGGUGAGGAAGAAACUAAAAAAACACUAGUUAUGUGGUCACCUGGAACUCCAGAGUGUUUCUUGGUGCCAUAUAGUCUUGCUUUGCUGCAGUUAUAGACUUUAUAAAUGCCCUGAGCUAUUUUGGCAGCAUCGGUGUCGUUUCAUUGUUGUUUUAGCAGGGGCUUUUGAUAAAAAGAGAAGUGAAAAGAAAAAUAUUACGCACGCCUAGGUUAUGUCAUGAUUGUUAUCGGCUUUGUCGAACUUUGACCUCUGUCUUCUUCAGAUAACUGUAAUGUGAAUUAAUAAUCUCCUUCCACAUUUCCUAGGAUUAUAGAAGUUGGUAUGUUGUCGCAGCUGUGAAGUACUUAUCUUACCAAUUAUAGUGUCGUUACUUAGUUGAGGUGACAAUGUUGGAAUUAUGUGUCCUGCAACUAUAUUCAAAUUACUUGGAAUUGUUAAUAUUCGAAUUGCCUCAUUAUGAAAUUAUACAUGUAUUUAUACAUGGAAUUGCUUUACAUGUUUAGCAUGGAAUUGUUACUUGCUGGAAUGUACUUAAGUAAUAUAUGCUUAAGGAAGCUGGUCAAUUCUCAGUAGAAUAUAAUAUUACUAUUUAUAUUGAAAAUACUACCCGGGAACGCUGAUGAUUUGAAGGAGCUAGAUAGUGUAGUUAGAUUAUAGUCCUAAUGUUGAUCUACAUAAUUAGAGGAAUUUACAUUCUAUUAUGAUGUGUUGCUCACAAGCGCGUGCUCCAGGGACAUAACGGAUAGAAUCUGUUAACAAACAAAUACGAUCGUGGUUGGUAAUUUGAUUUAGACUCUAUCCAGGAAACUAGUUGUAACGACUAGGAAUCUUAUAUGUAUAAGAGGUGGACUCUUUGAAAAGACAGUACAAGAAGGUGCCAUCUCUAGUCCAGAUAUGCGAAUUGUGAGCGGCGCCAUGGAUAAAUAGACCACAAACCCUAAAUUUCUAACAGACAAGACGUUGAAAUUUUAUCUUGUGUUCGGAUAGCAUUAUUUGAAACCGUGAGUUGUCUGUUUCUGUACUGAUGGCACCCCAAAAGUGCUGGUUACUGGGGAGGUGUAUGCGGCAUGCCGAAUCAUUCUUCCUCGGGAGGCCCUAAAGCUUCAACUUGUUGAGAAACUGUCUGCACUCUGCAGUUUGGAACCUUACGGAAGGAUGCUGUGAAUUUCAUGGAUAGUGGGCUUCCCUGAUGGCUGCUCUGCUACUGCUAGCUUACGGAAUGGCUUCUACAACUGAACUGUACUGCAGUCGCUCUUGACUGAGAAUUGUUGGGGCCCGCGGUGUAGGGUGACUGCUUGGCGUUGAGUUGAGCUGCAACGCUGAAUCAAACCCUGGACGACACAAACGAUCUGAUCUAGAUUUGGUUUGAUGCUCGUCCUUUGGGUUGGUACCCAUGACAGGCACGGGUCGCCAGCAGUUUACUAUCAUCCAUGGUUCUUUAGCCCUGUGGUGUUCUACUUAUCUGAAAAACUUCUUGUUUUUGAAAUGUCAACUGGGGUAUAUAUAUUUUUCAAAAACAGGAAGUCAUCAGUUUGUGAUCAUACAGCAGAGGUGAAGAGAGGGGCAGAGGGCCAGGCAGUUACACAUAGAUUACAAUAUACAGACAGCAGCCAGGCGGGGUGUCAGCGAGCAGGGUUGCUAGAAUGAGCUGAAUUGCCUCUUUUUUCUACCGAACCUGAAGAUUUGUGCCUAACAUUGAAAAGGUUCCAUAUGACGAUGCAAUCCAAAUUGCCUUUUCGAUCGACUACUCUCAUAUGUAGUAGGUUAUACCAAUGACAACAACAGCAGAUUUAUAUCCCACAAAAAACAUGCAGCAGCAGUGCAGCUGAAGCUAAAAUAUAUAUGUUGGUUACUGAAGCUAAGUCGUAAGCACUUUUCACGGUGAUGAUCCAGGCUUUUCCUUGUUUCCACAUAAUUACCUGAGUUCAAUGAUCUGCAUUUCUCAGGUAUCGCUUGUUUCAUACAUCGAAUGCUAUUUAUCGGCCUAUCCAUGCAAUUUGAAAAUUCACUGCUGAAUGUCGGUUGUGUUCUGCGAAUAAGUGAAUGGUGGUGGUUAUUUGAAACCUAUGCCCAAUUGUGGUGGUUACUUGCAAUAUACUCCUAGAGCUUAAAGCACACGUUUUGGGCAGUAAGUCAGAUAUAUGCAUUAUAGUUUCUUUCUUGAAAGCUAUGUGUUAUGUGACACUGAUCAGACUACUAGUUCUGGAAACAAAUACAUGUGCAGAUGCCAUGCCAGCUUAUGCAAGUUGGUUAACAUUUUUGAAAAAUGAGUGGCUGUGUGCAUCACACAUAGGCCUGGAUUUAACCUCCUUUCCCGGGGGAAAAGGCAAGUUACUUAAUAGUUACAAUCAGGUUAAGUAACUGAAGAAAUUAAGCAGUUGACCCAAAUGCAGCUUUCAGGCUGCCCCAAGCAACAUUAAACUGGGCUUGUGUAAAAUAUUAGUGCAGUUUAUGGUCAGAUGGCCUUGUCGAGAUCGAUGAUGGAUAUUUUAUUUUGGUUGUAUGUUUCGAUCUAAUCCAUAACUGAUGAUACUACAUGCAACUAGGACACGAGUGAAUAAUCUACUUAAGAGCUGCAUCAUGAAGGGAAAACAAGUAAGCUAAGUACAUGGAUUAGAGCAUCUGCACACAUCUCAAGUGGUUGACUUAAGACUGAUUAACAAGCUUAUGUUGUUUCUUACUGAAGCUAGAGCAGACUUGUAUUUCAAGGAAGCGAGAAUGUAUAUAAGUCUUGCUCACGUCUCCUUCCCCUCUCUUGUACCUAUAACUAUCUAUCUCUCCAUUACCAGAUCAUCAGUAUUUACUUGUAUGACGGCAAAAAAUAAUAACAAGAAAAAUUUCACUGCAGAACCUCCUUCAGGCACAAAAUAAUGACCCGAGGAAUAACAAAGUUGGUUUCAAUGAAAGUAAUUAUCGAAGGAGGUUUCAAUACCCAAUGAAUUUAUGUAUGAUUGACUAAUGGUCCUACCUUUUCCAUAAUAUGUUGCUGGUUUUCCUUGAUAAUUGUUUGGAAAGCGUUGAAUUUAGCAUGUUUUAAUCACAAGUGGCCUUCUGAUCCGUCUGUUAUCAUGUUUAGGGUAGCUUACUGGAAUAAUGAUUGGAGUUCCCUGUAGGUGAUGGAGGACGCAAAACGAGCGCUACGACGGGACGCAGGACUUCUGGAAUGAGUCACAACUAAAGUUUUUCAAGCCAGAAAAAGCUUGGUGCCAUGGAUUCCCCGGCUGGAAGAUGGGACUUGAAUUUGGGAUUGUGUCUAUUCCAUUAGUGGUGUUGUCCUGGUUAAUAGCUGGGUGUUGGCAUCGGCAUGUUCAUUGUAAAACACUGUGUAUUUUCGUGUCUUCGUUGUGUUGGUUGUUCCCCUACUCUGUUGCUCAGCUAGGGUUGCAAGGAGGGAUGCCUUAAAAACUUAAUUCCGUGUCCGUGUUGUGUUGGUGGUGGUUGCGUUUUGGUUGUAAAAACCACUUGGUUUCAUUAAUGAAACUGAUAAAAAAAAGUAAGCAUAAACCUUUCAGUGGAAUAUCCAAAAAAGUCCAGGCCAACUGUUUUGAGAGAACAUUUUGCAAUAAGAAAAUUUAGUAGCUACAAUCAGAAUAGAAAUGUUCUUAUCUGAUUCACAUGUUAUCCAUUUGUUCUCUUGUGUUUAAGUGAGUAAUUGCACCAAUUUCGAACAUACAAUAGGUCGUCAAUGUAGCUCAUAUGAAGUGUGCAAUAAGUAAUGAUCCGUGGUAUGGGAGUAUACUCUUCAUAUUCACAUUGACUACACAAACCAAACUUUAUUAUCAGAUCCACACUGACAAGAUAUGAUCCCAAACACACAACCAAACAUAUAUCAUAACUAUAACAAACAAAUGGACAUGGAUUUUUGAAUUAAUAGAAUAUCCCAGGCUAAAAAUCCACAGAUUACUUGAAAAGGAAAAAAUUGACAAAGCUUGUACAGUUCCUUUCAUAGCUACCCGUAUAUGGGUAGCUACAGCCCACCUAGUUUUUGAACAUAUUAUUGGAUGGUGGCGCCAGAUGUAGUGUCCUGCAAAAAAAAGGUAUAAUCAACAUGGCUACAUACCAAGAAACCAAUCAUUAAGGUACUGAUGGAAAUUUGUCAGGAAAAUGUAACAAUCAUAAUGCCAGAUGACUAAAACUAGCUUUGAAAUUUAUAGGCUUAUUUGUUACAUAACCUUAACUACGUCCAAUUGUCAAUACCAUGACGUUUAAAUUUCUUUCAGCUGGACAAGAUAUACAUGCUAGAAACACGAAGAAAAAUAUAUACAGAUUAAGUAGUUGAAUGUAUGUACUUACAGAAGCUUUGACGUAGAAUGCAUGGAUAUUGAGUUCUUUAAUAGUUUGGAACGUAGGGGGGUUGGUGAGUGCGUAAUACUUGAUGAUCCCACGUGCCAUAGCAAACUCUCCAGUCCCACCCAUAAUGGCCAUCUGGCCUUGGCCUGUUUGAAAAUUGAUCCCCAUCGCUUCGAAUGAUGAUCCAUUGUACCUGAUAUAGUUUUAUAGGGCAAUAUCACAUAUCAUAUGAAACUGGAAAAUCUUUAGUAUUUGAGAUCUUUGUAACAAACCAUAUAUGCUAUAUAACCGGGAAAACUAAAACUUGUACUAGUCCAAAAGUAUAUAAAAAUGACCUAGAGUUCUUCUCGAACACCAUGCUGAAGUAGUUGAACCAGCCUGGACCGGCUACAUCAGCCUGCACUUGCAUGCCUUUGGUACGGGCAACAAUGGUGGCAGUAGCGGGGUUUGGUCCAUCAAUCACAGUCCAGUCGGUAACUGCAGUUAGACCAAACUCUGAUGGUUUGCUGGAGGUAACAAUUGCUACCUGGUUGAUGCCUGGUCCGGCGGCGAUUUGGUGCAAGUACAAGCGCAUGUUAACCUCGGACUCACACUGAAGAACACAGGAUAGGGAUGCAGAUGCCAUGGAUAGAAUGGAAUGCAGGAUUAGGAUCAUGGACAGGACUAAAAGGCUAGGGCUAGCCAUUUCUAGCUAGGAUUUUGGCUGGCUGAAGAAGAUGGUAGCUAGGAGGUGUGUCCGUAAACUGACUCUUUCCUUUGUCGAGUGUGUUAGCUGUGUGAGAGACACUUGAGUCUAGGGUACUAUUUGUAGUGCUCCAGAACUAGCUAGCAUAUUCGUUCCAUAUCCUCUUUUUUCAUUUCUCUUUGGGAUGAUCCAUUUCAUAUCCUUUUUAGUUUCUUUUUUUUUCAACUGUCAUUUCAGUUAGGAUAGACAACUACACAUGUGUGACUGAUUCCUUGUACAUCUAUCAACCCUCGGAGAUCACAAAGGUCAAGUGCCUUUUGAGGAACUACCCUUUUUUCCUUGAAAUACAAUGUGUACAUGGUAAUGCAGCAUUGACAAAGACUAAAAUGAAUUAGACGCCCAUUCUUAUCUUUACAUCUAAUUGUAUCUCCGGAUGAGCAGCAGCCUAGAUUUUCCACCUGGACAACGAGCACACUGUCACUACUCCUACAAUACAAAGUUCAAAUACAAGGAUUCAUCGCCGUUGAAUCUGUGAAUCGAUGCGCCGCUCCCCCGCUCCCCCGCUGGGGAAUCGGGUAAAAGGCCGCUCCCCCGCUCCCUAGGGUUUCCCCGCCGCCGCCGGCGGCUCCCCCGCGCGGAGCCGCCGCCGCGGCGGCCGGAGACCGCCGGAGCCGCCAGCCCCCUCCUCUCCCCGUUCCCCUUCUCCUCCCCCCACCCCUCCUCCGCGCCCCCGUACCCCCGCGCCGCCUCCCCGAGCGAGGCGGCCGGGGGCCCUUCCUCCGUGCGCCUCCAGCCCCUCCCCACGCCCAUCCCUCCUCCCGCCGCCGUCAGCCUACGCCGCCGGUCCUCAGCCGCGUGAUGCUGGCGGCGGUGGGCUUGCCCUUCCCCGCUCGCGGUCCUCCCCUGCUCGGGCGAUGAUGGCCGGAGGCGGUGCGCCUUGGCCGGUGGUGGUCCGGCGUCCUUGUUGGAGGCCGGCGGUGCUCGCCGUGGUGGUGCCGCCUCUUGGCGGCGGGGUGGUCCGGUGGUGCUGGCCGGCUGGGGGCGUGUCCCCGGCCCAGAUCUGGGCCCGUAGGGUCCCUUCCGGGUCCUUGCGGGUUGGCUCCGGCGCGACCGUGACGCUCUCUGUAUGGGGAGGCAGGGGAGCGGCUUGGAUUGGGACAGCGACACAGAUGGUGUUCCAGCUGCUGCGCGGAGGCGGGAGCUGUCCGGGCCUUUGACGGCCCGGCCGGGCCUAUGGGGCCACGGGCCCGGUAGGCUCCUGCCAUGGCGUCCGGUCGGCUACCGUCGUGGACGGUGGAGGUGGGGCCCUCCCGUAUGCCAACGGUGUUGUUGCCCUAGUCCCGGCUCCUCUUCUCCGUUGUGCAGACCAUCUUCGUGGUGCCGUGGUGAGACAGCGUGGGAAGCUUCAUGUCCGUGUUGGCGCAGGGUGGUGGCCGGUCUGGUGGCGAGCUCCGGAGUGCCUGAGGUAGAGGCUGGGAUCGGGAGAAAUCUCUGUUGGCUUGGUCAACACCGACGUGGUGGCGUCUGAGGGUGCCGCCGGACCUUCCUUGAGGGCGUCGGGGCUACCCUUCCUCUCUCCUCGUCGUGUACCGGGGGAAACCCUUGGCAGCAGCGUCGUCAUCGUCGCGUCCCUUCUUGGAGGUGUUGUUGGGUACCGGCACUUCGGAGUCUCGGAGCUUGGUGGGCGAUCUCCGGUGGGCGCAGCGGUCACGAGGCUUCGUCGUUUUUGUCGAUCCACCAUUAUCGGCAUUUGUUUCUUUUCUUUUUUCUCUUUCCAUUCUUUUGGGCAUGUUUGUGCUGCUUCCGCCCCAGCCCCUAUCGUCGGUUGUAUUGGUUGAUUGCUUUGUAAUACAAAGCGGGGGGAAACCCCUUUUCUCAAAUCCAAGGAUUCGUGCUGCUUGUAAGUUAGAUACAUAGUUCAUCAAAUGACAUUUAAUUAUCUGGCUCAGUUUAUAGCUGCGAUUGGAGAUGCAACCCCCCACCCAUGGAACCCAGGUCAAAAGCUUUCCUUUCACCUCUUCUUUCCGCCGCCACCGACGUCGCUGCUCUUGUUGGGGCAGACUUGAUGCCAAAGACAGGAGGAAGCGGCCUUGGCAACAUCGCUGGUCUUGUUGAGGCAGCCUUGAUGCCAAAGACAGGAGGAAGCCGCCACACAACACUUCAGUUUGGUGGUGCUCUUCAAAUACCGGAUCUCGAUUUCCAGAGGGGAAACUCUAGCUCAGGCCUUCAUUCACUGUACGUUGGAAUGGCGAUGUUUCGACAUUGUUCCCUUGUUGAAGACAUUGUCUUGAGAUUGCUCGGAAGUCCUAUUCAGGGUGAAAACUCAUGAUCUAGCCUCUAUUAGAUUGGUGACAACAGUGAUCAUCCCUUUCCUAGAGGUGUCGUUGUUGGAGAUCCUUUCUCAUAGUUCGGGUAGUUCCAUUAGCGCAGGUUGGUGUUGGCCACUGAUGCAUGCCAUUGAUUGCUUCAACAUGAAUUUUGUAUGUCCUGUCUUUUUUUAAUAAUUUGGAUGUGUGCAACCCUGAUGGCUGGAUUAGCACAUUGCUUCUUGUAGAGGCUGCAGGGUGGAUGGGAGUGGGGCCGGGGGCAGUGGUGCCGACCGAAAACUAGCAAAUUUACUAUCAUCUUGAUUAACAUAUUUUUAGCGGUUUGUUCCUUGCAAAAAAAGACUAUCAAUGUAUCAAUUAUGCAAGCUAGUUUAAGACCAUUCACAAAUUAUUAUCAAAUGGUUCUAUUAAUGUCAACUGCAUUCAGGAGUCAUGCAUGACGUCAACCAUGUCAAAUUAUUGAAGGUUUAACCUCUGGCUUAGAAACAAAACUUAUGCGUACCAUAGGCCUGCAAAAAUUAAACCACUGUACAUGACAACCACACAAAUAUAAUACCUAGUGGGCAACCUCCGUACGACAACCACAGAAAUAUAAUACUUUUGACAAGUUUAUCAAUGCUACUUGCGUGUUGUCUAAUAAGUAGUGACCUUCAUAAGGAAUUGCGUCGAUCCAAGGAUAACAUCUUAAUUAGCAUACUACUAAGAUUCGAAGACAUAUACUCUUGAAAGUCAGUUGUGCCAUUAGUCAGAUGUGUAUACAGUAUACAAUCCAAUUGUAUGUAUAUGUAUGUCAGUAUGUGUGCUCAUCAACGGUUCACCAUGUUUUGAAGCAACCCAGUCAUCAGUAUGACCGAGUGUUCAGAUAUAUCCAGUAUACAUGCAUUCACGAGUGCUCUUAUUGCUUGUGUGUAACCCAUGUGGUGUGUUUGUUGAUGUAACUUCAUCAAAUAUGCAUCUAUAAUUGAAGGGAGAACCUAUCCUUCAAUUAUGGAUUAGUCGAUUUUCCUAGCCUACUGUUUAUCUUUUUCGCCCACCCUUCUCCACUUCUUUGACCCGUUCCCAACCGUCUGCCAAGCCGUCUGCUAUCUGUGGUGCCGCCAGCCACGCCGUCCGCCGUCGGUGGUGCUUCCGCGUGUGCCCCGGAGCCCUGCCCUGCUCAGUUUGAGCCGCCAUCUCUGCCAUCCCUCUGCACCCUGGCCAUCCCUACAAACCUCCCCACAGUCCCUGGNNNNNNNNNNNNNNNNNNNNNNNNNNNNNNNNNNNNNNNNNNNNNNNNNNNNNNNNNNNNNNNNNNNNNNNNNNNNNNNNNNNNNNNNNNNNNNNNNNNNNNNNNNNNNNNNNNNNNNNNNNNNNNNNNNNNNNNNNNNNNNNNNNNNNNNNNNNNNNNNNNNNNNNNNNNNNNNNNNNNNNNNNNNNNNNNNNNNNNNNNNNNNNNNNNNNNNNNNNNNNNNNNNNNNNNNNNNNNNNNNNNNNNNNNNNNNNNNNNNNNNNNNNNNNNNNNNNNNNNNNNNNNNNNNNNNNNNNNNNNNNNNNNNNNNNNNNNNNNNNNNNNNNNNNNNNNNNNNNNNNNNNNNNNNNNNNNNNNNNNNNNNNNAACCUGUCAAGCCAUUUUCCUCUCCUCCGUCUGCGACCGUGCGGCUAGUCACGACAUCCCGUCUCGUGCUCGAUGUUGCGGUGUGUUGCUCUCUGCAAACCGAGUUGGAUGACGCGAGGAAAAGAAUCAAGACUGAGUAAUAGAAAUUUCCAUGAUUGAAUAUUUCAGUUUGGCAAAACUUUUCAUACAUUUCUAUGGAUUUUCACUGUCAUAGAAACAAAAAAACGUAACAAGGAAAGAAGACGAUGUCCCUUCAUAGGAUUGCAUGGAGGUAACAGAGAUCCAUGUCUUGAAAACGUGGGAAAGAAAGGAGCACGCAAUUGAAAACAAACACCUCAUAAAACUUACACUAGUGCAUACUACGUCGUAAGAACAUCUACAACCGAACCCAAAUGUGACCCCUACACGUCCGUGGAUGCGUCCACAGACAGCGACCGGUCACCCCUUAUAUCUCCGCGUCCUCUUCCGUCCCCCUCAAAUCCAUGCUAACAACAAAACGUCAUCAACAUUUUAUGUAGAAACAAUUUGAACAUAGCAGUAUAAAAACAUAUAUAUUGGGAAUGGCAAGUUUCAUACAAUCGGACACAAAAUGUCCAUCAUCACCUAGAUAUGAUAAGCCUAAACAAUAGAUAAACUCCUACAUGUAGGCGUUGGCUGUCGGAGGGGAUUUGUCGUUGUCCUCGCUCAUCAUGCCGCUGACAUAGGACAGCAUCGAGGAGAUGAUCCCGACCAGACGCCGGACGGCGCAGGCCUGCUCCUUGGUGAGUCGGGCGGCUCUCGUGAGGUUCCUGAAAUCGUCGAUGUCGAGCCAGAGAGCCUUUGCAGUUUUCCUACGUCGGGCAUCCAUCUCUGCUGAUGUCAAUUUUCAGAGGCUGACAUCACGGAGGAGCUCCUCCUCCAGGUCAACCAGCGUGGACCUACAGAAUUCGCAGACACUGCAGGAGGAACCAGCAUUCUCACAGACCUACUGCCUAGCACGGCCGGCUCGCGCCUCUCAUUUGUACGUCCUCCUUGAAAGCUCGUGGUGCGGGAACAAGCAUCCUGCUCCAACCGGGAGGAGCGGAGCCCAAAGUGGUAGAGUAGGGUCACAAAGGGCGAUGGAUCUGGACCGGUGCAAACCGCGACGGGCUGCAUUGCCUCGUCGGCCAACGGGAUAGAAGGCAGAGCUCAAAUUCCUACCCCUGUCCAUCCAUGACCGGCGGAGCGAGGCGCAUGCAAAGGGCGAGUUCUCCUCAUCAUCCAGAUCCGAUUGCGGCAAGGCAUCCCAGUCGAUGGGCUUCGCCUCGUUGCUGGAUCCGCCACUGAAAUCGCUGCCAGAAUCAACCCAUAUGGUAGCCUGAGAAGAGGAAGCAAUGGAGAUGGGAGCGAACAUGACUGGAGUGGAAGGGGAGAGAAGAAGCCAGCACUGAGCUAUGUUUGCACCCUAGUGGAGAUGGGUCGGGCGAGCACGAACGGGUCCAAUAUGACGGCCGCGUCAGGGAGUGUCGAUCUACCCCAGACGAUAGGGCUAACUAUGUGGGGUCCGGUUGGGUGGCAAUUAUGGGCUGAGUAGUGACCGGGCUGUCCGCCCAUACGUUUGGGAGGAUAUGAGUGCUCCUUUGUACAUGCUUUAAAUCUGGGCAUGAGAAGCCGCACCUGCCGGUGCCUAUGCUGGGCUUGUCCCUCUUAGCUGGAAAGCCCCAAAAAGUCAAGGACCUUAUUUUUGGGAUUUUAUAUGAGAAAUAGGUAUGGUAUUGUAUCAAUUUGUCCUAAAAUAAUUCUUUUAUUAUAUUUAAAUAAAAAUAUAGCCAUUUUCGUGGCCAAGCGAGGUGGGAUAAGACCCGGGCUCGGAAUUUUCAGGCCGGGAUCUAGCAGGUCCGUCAGUUUUAAUCAAUUUAUUUCUUUUUCAGUUCUAAGCUGUUUUAAGUACCUGGUCAGCAAUCUCUAACCAAUGAUAAGAUAACAAGACUAGGCCUACUAUCAAUUUUCAUAGUCAAUUGUGUCCCUGGUCACAUUACUCCAAUCCAUCUAUAUUUAUGCGUGCUCAUAACCAGUUCACCUUGUUUGAAAUAAGCCCAGUUAUGUUUCCUUUUUGCAAGAAAGUACCGCAUUUAUAUUAAAUGACUUCCAACAUCCCGGAAAACAGAUCGUCGACGUGGUCCAGUGCAUCACAGGUGGCAACAAUGAACUGAAAGAAAUUGCGAAAUUUAAGGUAGUUGUUAGUGGCAGGAUCUAGUUUGAAGGUGAUCUAGGAAUGGAUGUUGGUUUUAUGGACGGUAUGGGGGCCUAGAGUUAGGAAAAAGGAUUGAGAGGGUAAUAGAGAGAGCACCAGCUACAGUAUUGAGGGCACCAUGGAGCUGAGAAACUGGGAGAGGUUUAACACCCUCUGGUUCUGAAGAAGAAGAAAAAUAAUACCACAAGCCUGCAAAGUAAACCAACAUAUAGAAUUAAGAAGCAAUUUAACAAUACUUAGUGGGCAAUCUCCGUGACAACCAUCAAAAUAUUGCUAUGCUGUUAAGGAAUUAUUUCUUUGAAUAAGCUUGGUACUAGUUGUAAUAGUUGCAUGUUGUCUAAUAUGUGACGUUAGUAAGGAAUUGCGUCAAGCAAAUUAUAGCAUCUUAAUUAUCAUAUUACCAAGACCUGAAGAUAUAUACAACCUUGAAGCCUUAAGAGCUAGAGCCAUUGCCUAUUUUUUCUUAGAAAUUGGGCCAACCCUGUCGCGUACGGAUUUAUUUAGUAGUAAUUAUUCUGUAUAUUUUCAUGGAUAUAUAGGAAUAGGCAGUGUAUAUGUGGAGUGCACACAAUCUUGUUCAACUUUUCUUUGCUGGAAGUAAGCUGUUUUAAGUACUUGGUCAGUAAUCACAAAUCAAUGAUAAGAUCGUAAGACUGGGCCUACUAAUAUAAUCCCUCCGUCCCAAAAUUCUUGUCUUAUAUUUGUCUAGAUACGGAUGUAUCUAAUACUAAAAUGUGACUUGAUACAACCGUAUUUAGACAAAUCUAAGACAAGAAUUUUGGGACAGGGGAGUACUUUCAAAGUCAACUGCGGCCGCUAGUCAGAUGUGUACCACAAGACAGUUACAUAUAUCAUGCUCAGCACGAGUUCACAUUGUUUUAAAAGCAACCCAGACAUAAGUAUGAGUGUUAGUUCAAACAUAUUUGUAAAAGAACACUCGUUUAUACACUUUAGGAGUUAAUACAUUCAUGAGUGGUUUUUUCAUCAUGUAACUGGCACGGAGUGUUACUGAAUAUAACUUUAUUAUUUAUUACAUUUCUUAGGAUUCUUCCUAUCAUGAAACUAGCGGUACUGCCUGCUCAGUUGCGCGGCAAGAUUUUGAUUUGUCAUUUUAAAUUUGGAAACUAUAUUUUGGCAUUUUAAAUAUUUCUUAACACUUUGUAAAUAUGCAUUCUUGUAAUUACCUAAUUGCGAAUGAGGAAUUCAUCAGCAAAGGAAUGCCAAGAAAUAGUCGGUCCCACAAAAAAGGCUGAAAUUAAGUGUUUUUACUAAAAGACAUUCAAUUAGAACAUAUCAUGUAAGAAGGCCUAAAUUCAUCCAUACAUACGCAUUAAGUAUACUUGUGGGGUUAACAAUUUUAAGCAUGUAUACAUGUACAUCUAUUAUCUAUUAUAUAAUUAAGACAAGAGGCAAACAAGCCAUCACGUUCGUCCACAUAUGAUAAUAUUUUGUACACCGUUUCAUUAGAAUAAUAACGGUUGAGAUUUAAAGAUUCUUACGUAACAUCGUAAAAUAGAUGUGCCAGUACAAUUGAACUGUCAUGUUGUCAUGUUAUAUGCAUGUAUAAGCAUUAGGUAUGUAAAAAGAAGAAAAAAAGAGUAAAAAGACAUAUUGGUUUGUCGCGUUACAUGUACCGUCACGUAAAAGAGAUGGACACAGAAGGGUGCAAAUAACCAUGACGUGCACACAUGUACAUACAUGAAUAAGAGUUCUAGGAAAACUAAAGAUGAAAGUAGGGUCACGUGAGAAUUAGAAAGGGAAACCUAGGGGACGAAACUAGAACGUGAAGGCAGACUUCAACUUGGACACGUACAUGUUCUCAAAAAAAAAAAACUUGGACAUGUGCAUGUAACGGAGAAAAAAGCUUUGCAUGAAGGGUAUUCACUGGAAAAGAAUAUGCAUAUGUAAAUCUACCAACUUACAAGGAAACAUACUAAAAAGUCUAGCGUUCUAACGCAUAGCAUAAAAACCUUAUACUCUAUACUGUUACACAACAAAAAAUCAGCUAUUAGGCUCAAAUUAAAAUUUAACCGGUAGAACUGCACAUGCAAUUCAAACUAAAUAUAUUAUUGGUAAUUAGUCAUUCGCUAAUUUAUGAGAAGACGCUGCAAGACAACAAUAUAUUACCGAUUUUAUAUGAAUAUACACCAAUAGUUUUUUUUAAAAUAUACACCAACAGUUCUUAGCCUUAUAUGGUCAGGCUACAUAAACAAUUAGAGUACGAGGACUUUGUCAAGAACAUUUAGAAGCAUGUGUCGAAAGCCGAUAUCGAUGAUACUGCACUAUCUAUAAAAGGAAUGCACAACAAAUAGAGGUACACAACAUAAAUCUUACAUAUUUAAUUGAUGAUGAAAUGAUUUGGCGUGGUAAGAAUCUAAGAUAGGUGUAAUUGGUCACCUUUCGUCGGGCAUCGGUGGAUGUCGAAAGGAUUUCAACCUAAAAGACACACAUUUCAAGUAUAAUAUUUUUUGUAUUUAAAAAUCACAUAUCAGUGGCAAUGUGGCAUUCGACUUAACAUUUAUGUGUUGGAGGAAAUAGCGACUAACCAAGAGCAGUAGAAAUGUGGAAUUUGAUUAGUGUUAUGGGACAAGCGGCUAGCUUGGUAAGCUACCAACAAAAAAUUGCAAUCAAUGAUUAGUGUUAUGGAAUUAUAUGGCUUAGUAUUGUAAGGUGCUGAUCUCCAUGACAUAGCACACUUGAAAGAAGUAUUGUUAAACUGACGAUUCCAAGGUCUUAUGGCUUUCUCGGAGAUGCACAUUUUGGUCAUACGUUACUAUAUAAUAUAAAAGUUGGUGUUGAAAACAAUACUACAUAACAAUUAGACUCGAAUGAAUGAUAGAGAAUAUUUUACCAAAAGAAGAAAUCAAGCAUUAAUUAAGGAAAAAUCUGUGUCCUGCCUUUUUUUUGUUUUGAAAUCCGGUUAUAUUCAAAUAACUGGGCAGUGGGCACCAUUAGAACUGAACAAGCCCUGGACAGCCCAAGCGAGAAUAUUGUAUCAACUUUAACCAUGAAGUGGCUUUGAUAGUUACCUCACAAUGAGAAGAUGUACAAGCAUAUAAACGUAUAUAUGGAUAUAUGACAUGUAUUUAUAAGAACACAUGUGCAUAAACAGACGGUGUAUUGCUACAAGCCAACAAUUAAUGUUUAGAUUUUAUUGACAAAAAUUCUACAAGAAUAUUUGGUGAAAAGAUAAAUGAAAAUGGAUUUGAGAAGGUGGAAUAGUGAAAGCCACGUAUUAGUACAAAAUCAUAUGGUUUUCCAUGGUGGGACACAUGCCUUGGUUCUGUCUAUCUUUGAUUGCCAUAAUAACCCAGUCUGUACCAACAUCUUUAUACAUAUUACAAAAAUAUACGAUGUGAACUUUGGUGAUGAUUUAUAUAGAUAUAAAAAAAAUGUAAUUGGUUAUAUAAAUAUUUAUAUAAUGACAGAUCAAAUAAAAGAAGAUACAUAGAGAAAUAACAGCACAAAACAUAUAAUAUAAAUAAAGGAAGUCUAGCCGCGCAAACGCGCGGGUCACUAUAUAUAAAAUAGCUGGGCAACUAAGUUUUGGUGAACUUAUUGUGGAAGUACAUGUCGUCCCACGUUAUAUGAAGUGUGUGGUCGUUCUUGUCAUUAAGUAAGGAUACCCAUUCAGAGCAGGAUGCUUUAUGGCUAAGCUCCUAUAUUACUGCCGGCCCAAGUUGAUGACAGAGAAACUCCUGAUCAAACAAGCUGAUAUACGGGAGCACAUCACCUUGUCGAUGCUAUGGAGGAACUUGACGCCGAGACCGCGAUUAGUCAUCGCUUGAUCAAUAUCUGCGAGGAACUUGAGCUGCUACCCAUACUUGGUGACAGACAUGGUGCUCUCCUUGAGCAUGUGGUACUUGACGCUAAGACUGAUGAUGUGUGCGGAGUUAUUGUUGAGGAAGUACUGGUGGAGGCGAUUCCAUGCCGACAAGGCAAUGCCGUCAUUGGACAUCGCAAGUCCAGAAGACCAUCGUCGAUCAUGGUAUAGACCCACAACAUGAUCCUGAUGUCAGCACGCUGCUACUCGGGGUCAUCAAUUUCAAGUUCAGAUGUUGAAUAAUGUGGUUGAGUUCGGAGGCGGGGAGGACGAACCAGAAGAAAUGCACCAUUUAUGGUAGUUGUUGACAACUUGGGUCGAGUUUAAAGGUGAAGUAGGACUGGAUGUUGGUAUUAUGGACGACAAUCGGGCAUGAAGUUUGUAAAAGGGGUUGGGAGGUAAGAAGAGGGAGUAGAAGAAAUAGUGGCGACGGGCGCCAUGGCAUCAACAGAGAAACAUGGAGAGGUCUUGGGGGUUUGCGCCAUAAGUGACGUGGUGCUGGAGUUGGUCUGGCUGUUGUUCACUGGUGUUACCAAGCUGAACUCAGUAAUAUGUAUUGUUUGCCUCAAGGUUUACAAGUGUAAAUGUGCACAAUAUAUAGAGAAAGGUCACAGAGAGAGGCCUAACUAACUUCAACANNNNNNNNNNNNNNNNNNNNNNNNNNNNNNNNNNNNNNNNNNNNNNNNNNNNNNNNNNNNNNNNNNNNNNNNNNNNNNNNNNNNNNNNNNNNNNNNNNNNNNNNNNNNNNNNNNNNNNNNNNNNNNNNNNNNNNNNNNNNNNNNNNNNNNNNNNNNNNNNNNNNNNNNNNNNNNNNNNNNNNNNNNNNNNNNNNNNNNNNNNNNNNNNNNNNNNNNNNNNNNNNNNNNNNNNNNNNNNNNNAUGGGCUCUAGUACAACACGGUUGAGUUACAACAGUACAUACAUAUGGUGCGUAGAUGUUUAAUAAUAUUGAUUUGAAUUCAUGUAUGACGGGGUAACAAAUGGCAAAGAUUAACAAUAACAUUAGACUGCCUGCAAUAGGAAUAUCAUACUAGCUAGUAUCAUGCACGACAACUAAGCAUUUUUUAUGAGGUGAAUAUAAAUGAAGAAAAAAAGAGUCCAGUAUUAUAUCAUGAUAUCGUAUCAUAAUAAAUGUUAUGCUCCUAUGUGUCAUACAUAACAACAAAUAAGGCCAUAUCUAAGAUACUAAUACACGAUAUUAUGCAUUAUAGAGGUAAUAUGAUAGAAUAGUAUCAUAUGCAUGAUAUGAACUUAUGAUAUGUACAACUCAUUACGGGAGCCUUAGCCACGCAAAUGUAUGGGUCAUUUUGCUAUAAAUGAUCCUUCUGACGUCAAACUGCACGCAUUAUUGCACAGAUCACUUGCGUAGAAUUUAGCACAAAAAAUAUUGGUGCGCAGGGUAUAUGCUAUAUCAAAGUCAACCACAGUUAAUUAAGUGACACGAAUAAGAACUAGCUGUAUUCGCAAAAAAAAUGAAUAAGAACUAACUAGGUUUUCUUAUUAUUUUAUUGGCGGUGUAGUACUAGCUAUCCAGCUAUGGCUAUCCUCGCAUUGGCUCCCUAUAAAUAGCAUCCUGCUCCCUCAUAUGGACAUGUACCAGUUAAGCAGCCAGCUAGCUCAUCUCCAUUGCAUCUGUUCUUGCUCUAUUCUCCAUUAGAACCUCCCAAUUCAUCAAUGGCUUCAUCUCUGAAGGUGGCCGCUGUCGUCGCGGUUUGCAUCCUGCUUGUCCUGAACAUGGGCCAGCCGGCGGCAGCCACAGAAUGUGAAGAUUGUCUAGGCGCCUGUGUUGGCAUCUGCAUCGCCUACGCUGAAACAUCAUGCACCGGCAUAUGCACCGCCAUAACUCCUGCAUGUCAGGCAUGUAAGGACGCGGCCUUAAUUGAGUGCGGUGCAACAUGCUAUGGCGGUUGUACCCUCCUCUGCUAAACCACCGGCCGGCUGUGCCCUGUUGCUCGCCGUAAGCUAGGUGCAUGCUUGUGUUCGUUGUUACUUCGUUGUUGCUAUUAUAAGCCAAAUAAGCGAACUAAUGCCGUUGCUGUGUGCAUGUGGCAAAAGUUCCUUCGUUUUAUUGUUCCACCUCGUUUCAACCAUCAGUAAAUAUACUUGUGUGCAAGUUGUGUAUGUUUUGUGCUUCUUCGUACAUAUCAUGUGUCCAAUGUGUUGUCAUACUUAAACAAUAGGGAUAUAUCCUUAUCAAGAGAACGCAGUUCCAAAGUAUGUAGUUUCGCUUCCCUCACGGUAGGGUUUCUUCUUUCACUCAGCGCCUCAUAGUGGCGUAAAGAUUGCAUCUAAUUCCUUCACAACUUGUCUUCUUCCAGCAUAAAACUCCGUCCUAAAUUUUCUAUGAUUUUUCUUGUUCACCGAAAAUACUAGUUUCCUUUGCUGUGCUUGAUCGUUCAUGAAUUAUUCCAACUAGUUCCAUGCAAGACUAGUUUAAGACCAUGGACGGAUUAAUGUUAAGUGGUAGCUUAUUAUAUUGAUGCCAACUCCAUUAUAUGUAGAAGGGUUGACACCAUGGGCCCGCAAAGUAAACCAAUAUAUGGAAUUAAGCAUGCAAUUUAGGAAUACUUAAUGUGUAGUCUCCGUGGUAGCGACCAAAAUAUUGCAAACAGCGAUUUUCUAAUGCUAAGGAAUCAUUACUUUGAACAAGUUUCUCGGUGCUAGUUGCGUGUAGUCUAAUACGUAGUGGCAUUCAUGAGGAAUUGUGCCAAUCAAUGGAUAAUAUCUUAGUAGUCGCAUAUUACUCCGUCCAUUUGAAAAUACUUGUCGAAGAAAUGAAUAAAAAUGGAUGUAUCUAGAAGUAAAAUACGUUAGACACAUCCAUUUCAACGACAAUAUUUCUGGACCGCUCAUUGAUAUGGUCUAAUCUAGCAAGAACUACUAUUACAAGUACUUCGCAGCUACGUGCACCUGCUUCAUCGAGCAGGUUUACAUUCGCGGGGUGGGUAAUAAAAUGAGCGGCCCUGGUGUGCCCUAGUCGUAGUUGCCGACAUGCAUGGGUCAGCCGCUACGUACUUUCUUGCGUGUAAAGAGUGACCAAUGACACAGAUUGCGUGUAAAGAGUGCCUCUCAGCAGAAAAGCCCCCAAAAUCCCAUGAGACCUUAUUUUUGGGAUUUUAUAUGAUAACUAUGUAUGAUACUGCAUCAAUUAAUCACAAAAUAAUUUAUUUAUUAUUUUUAAAUAUAAAUAUAACUAUUUUGUGCCCAAGGGAGGUGGGGUCAGACCCUGGCCUCGGCAUUCUCAUACCGGUUCUGGCAGGCCCAACCAUUUUAACAUAUUUAUUUAUUUAUUUAUUCCGUGACUAAGCCGUUUUAAGUACUUGGUCAGCAAUCUCUAACCAAUGAUAAGAUCACAAGACAAGGCCUACUAUCUAUCUUCAUAGUCAACUGUGCCGCUAGUCACACUACUCCAAUCCAGUUAUAUUGAUGCGUGCUCAUCAUCAGUUCACCAUGUUUUAAAGCAACCGAGUUAUCUUUCUUUUUUGCGUGAAAGCUCCGUCUUUAUAUUAAAAUACUUCCAACAUUCCGGAAAAAAUAUCGUUGAUGUGGUUAAGAAGCAAUUUAACAAUACUUAGUGGGCAAUCUCCAUGACAACCAUCAAAAUAUUGCUAGCUAGUUUUCUAAUGCAAAGGAAUUAUUGCUUUCAAUAAGCUCGGUACUAGUUGCAUUGUUGUCUAAUAUGUGACGUUGGUAAGAAAUUGCCUCCAGCAAAGGAUAACAUCUUAAUUAACAUUAAGAGCUAGAGCCUUGCCUAUUUUUUCCUAGAAACUGGGCCAACGUUGUCGCGUACGGAUUAAUAAAGUAGUAAGUAUUCUGUAUUUUCUCAUUGAUAUAUAGGAAUGGACCAGUGUAUAUGUGGAGUGCACACAAUCCCUUGCUGGAACUAAGCCGUUUUAAGUACUUGGUCAGCAAUAUCAAACCAAUGAUAAGUACACAAGACUGGGCAUCCUUUAUAACACUAAGCUCCCUAGUUUUAAUGAGCGUACAUUCAAUUGAGGUUUCCAGUUAAAAUUGAGUCCCGAUUUUGACCGAGUCAACAAUUUCUCAAAGCCCCAUGAUUCUAUUCUUUUAUUGCUUUCUAAUUUUUUAGGCCUCACAACUAAUUGAUGUAUUAAAUUUAGAAUUGGGUCAUCCAAAUUUGAUCGAGUCAACAAUUUCUCAAGCUCACACUUUCAAUUCUUUUCAUUCACCAUAUUCCAAAAUUUUGAAGCUCUCAUUCAAUUGAGGUAUUCAAUUUUGAUUUGGUUUACUGUUUUGACUGGUCCAACGAUUUUUCAAAUCAAUCAACAACAACCGACCUAUAAAAACAUAUCAAUCCUCCGCACCCUCCCACCACCUAAAAGAAGCAUCGUCAUGUGAUACUAUAGCAUCAAUAUAGUACAUGCAAUCAUCGACACGGAAAUGUCCACACAUAAUUAUAGGUUGUUUAGCCAAUAACACGGAAUCACACCAUGAAAGGCGCACCAAAUCACCGCAUUAUAAGUAAAAAUAAACCACACUAUCAUCUCUUCCACCCGCCAAACUAAAUAUUCCAUCAGCUAUAAAAUAUAAGGGGUCCCCAACACGCACGAGGAUUAGCCCCCGCGUCGUCUUCCUGGCGGCUCGGGGGAGAAAAAACCCUAGCCACCGCGACUCCUCCCCCUCCCCUCCUAGUCUCGCCGCCGCCGGAGGGGUCGCCCUGGAAAAGGCCGGGCGGCCUUGAGGAAGCUGGCGGCGGGGCAACGAUUCCCUUUUGGUGGCGCGAGCAUGCGAGAGCUCCGCGCGCGGCAGAGGAGUUGCGGACGGCGGCAGCCACCGCCACGGGACGGGAAAAGCACGGCGAUCCAGUUGGCCUGGCGCUGCGGGCGCACCAUGCGUGGCGACGGUGUGGCCUAUGAUCUCCUACUUGGCGGCUUGGAUCUGGGGCUUCUGAUCUGGGUCGGGCAUCCAGGUUGGGGCUUUGCCUGGUGUCACGGUGACGGCUACUCUGCUGCGUGCUGGCCUGUUGGUGGUGGCCGGCCAGGAGGCGGCGGUGGAUCUGGCUUCAGAUCUAUCCGGUGGCAAGUUUGGAGUGGCAAGACUUUCAGAGAAAACCAAGCCUCAACUACGGUCAUGGUGGACGAUGGCGGCGUCUUUUGGCGUCGUUACCUUGUCGAAGGCAUCGUCAUAGCAAGUCGCGUCACUCCUUUCGGCCUGCUCUGGGGGAAACCCUAGAUCUGUUGUCAUGGAUCGGGCGAUGGCGACGUCAGGCACCGCGCUCCUUGCUGGGGGCAUCGUUUUGGAGCAGGUACCGACUUGGGUGGACAGGUGGUGGAGCGGCGUGGUAUCUAUCGCUCAUCAACGACUGGUCUCGGCGGCGUGGCGCAGCGGGGUCUCGCUGACAGAUGCGAGAUGAUGGACGCCCGCAGGGGGGCGGCGCUGUCUGGCGUCAUGGUGGUGUCGACAGCAGCUAGACCCGGCGAGGUAGAUGCAAUAGUACAUCACUGAAAAUGGAUUGGUGGCAGGUGGCUGCGACGGCCUCAUACCUGGUAGGCGUCCUGGUUGAGGAGUACGCCGGACUGGUGGGUGCCCCAUACCCGGCAGACGUCCUCGUUGGGACCUCAGGUCUUAGAUGUUUGGUUUGGUUGUGAGGUAUGUUUGUUAUUAGGCCCAGACUAUCAGCAUCCCUUCAUCAACUGGAUUGGAGUAAUGACAGAUGUUGCCUAGACGGUGACUUUAGUCUUACUAUUGUAUGACUUUGUAAGGUCUUAUGUGAAUAAUUAAUAAAGUGGAUGCAUGCAUCGUCCAGAUGCAGAGGCCGGGAGUCCUUCUCCUUUUCUAAAAAAUAUAAUAAAAUAUAAAGGGUAUUAGGUUUUUAGAAAGACAAAUUUCUUUAGCUUUGACCAAGUUUAAAGCAAAACAUCGACAUCCACAAUAUUAAACAAAAAAAAAGUAUGGAAAUUCAAUUUUUUUUGAUGAAUCUGAAAAUACUGAUUUGAUAUUAUGGAUUUUGAUAUAUUUCUUUACAAAUUUCAUCAAACUUAAAAGGUUUGACUUUUCAAAAACAAUAAUACAUCUUAUAUUUUGAAAAGUGUGAUUAUUUUUUUAACAAAACCAACAAACACGAAAGUAUAUUUUGGUAUAUUAAAUAUAUAUUUUUGCUUUGAAAAUAUAUAUUUGUUGUAGUCACCUUGUUUUGUAUGAGGAAUUCAUCAGCAAGGAGUGCCAAGAAAUAGUCAGUUGUACUAAAAGCUGAACUUUCAAUGCUUUUAAUAGAAAGAACAUUCGUACAUAUUAUUUAAGAAUGCCUAAAUUGAUCCUAUGCAUGUAGUAAGAACACCUGCGGUGUUAUAUUAUUAAGUAUGCAGAUGUAGAUUAUAGGAUAAUUGGACAACUAAGUAUUCGGGAUUACUCUGGAAAUACACAGUAUGAUCUUCAUAUCGUUAUACGAAGUGUGUAUAGCCCUUUUUACUAGUGAGUAAGGGUGCUCAGUCAGAUCAGAAUGCUUUAUGGUCGAACCCGGACUGCCAACAGGAGUUGAUGACUGAGAAAUCUUCGAUUAAACAAGGUAAUCAUGAGCACCCAUAAUCUUGUCGGUGUCAUGGAGGGAACUAGAGGAAGAGAUUCCGAUCAGUCGUGGCCUCAUCAACUUCAGCAAGGGAAUCACCGAGGAACUUGGACUAUGAUGCAUACUCAGCGACCGACAUGGUGCCCUGCAUGAGAAUGCAGUACUUCCUGUUAAGAUGAAUGGCGUGGGUGGCAUUGUUGUUGAGGAAGUACUGGUGGAGGCGAGUCCAUGCUGAUAAGACAAUGUCGUCGGAGGACAUUGCCAGGUCCAGAAGACUACCGCCGAUAGUUGUGUAGAUCCAACAGAAGAUCCCGGUGUCGGUACAUCGCAGCUUGGGAUCGUCGACGUAAAGUUUGAACGUCAUGUUAAUGUGGUCGAGUACAACGCCGUAACGCAGGUGGAGAGGAUGAACAGCAAGAAAUCAGACGUUUAUGAUAGUUGUUGGUGGGUGGGUCCAGUUUGAAAGGGAUGUAAGAGUGGAUGUUGGUAUUGUACACGGCAAUGGGGGCCUGAAGUUUGAAAAAUUAAUUGGGAGGGUACGAAGAGAGAGUUGAAGCAGUGGUGAUGAUGGGAACCAUGGCGCCGACAGAGAAACUAGGAGAGGUCUGCAAGGUUUGCGCCAAAAGGGAGGUGGCACUGGAAUUGGUCUGGGUGUUGCUCAAUGGCGAGCAGAUGGCUCUGAUUACAAAGGUGAAUUAUAUAAUGCUUGCAUCCAGGUUUACAAGUGUCGAUGUACAACACAUCAGAUAAUGAAUAGAGAGAGCCCUAACUAACUGCAACAUACGGAAAAAGGCACCCACAGGUGCACGAGAGAUCUUCGAUCCUAACCUCUAAGGACUAUGGUACAACACGAGCUUUGCUAUACCUGCGGGGGCUCGUGUGGGGAGGGGGUUACGUAAUGUUUUGCCAAUUUCUAAUUGUUCAUUGGUGGGGGCGUGGGGCCCAUCCUAAAAUUCAGGGGUGUGUUUGAUUAGUUCAGAAUGAAGUUACGUAGGAUGCAUUACGUAGUUCUAGCAUGUUUGGUAGUACGGGUACAACGGUACAUACAGAUGAUGCAUUGUUUAACAAUAUUAAAUUGAAAUCAUGUACUACAAGGGUUAGCAAAUGGCAAAGACUAACAAUUCUCAUGUCAAAGUGCAAACAUUCAAUCAUUGGUGCACAAUGAACAUAUGAUAUUGAAGUCAACAACAGUUAAAUUAAACAAUAUGGAUCGCACUCAAAAAAUAUUUAAGUGAUACAGAUCAGCAAAUUUGCUAGUUCUGGUUUUUUUUUUGUGAGGUGGAGAAAGAAUGCUAGCUAGCUAGCUAGCUAGUUCUGGGUAGUCCUCACGUUGGCUGCCUAUAAAUAGCAUCCUGCACCAUCAUAUGGGAAUGCACCAGUUAAGCAGCUAGCUAACUCAUCUCCAUCCAUCGCAUCUCUUCUUCCUCAAUCCUCCACUAGAACCACCCACCCAAUUCAUCAAUGGCUUCAUCUCUGAAGGUGGCCGCUGCCGUCGCCGUGGCCGUUUGCGUCGUGCUUGUGCUGAACAUGGGCCAGCCUGCGGCAGCCACAGAAUGCAAAGAUUGUCUCGCCGACUGUGUUGACGUUUGCGUCGACUACUCUGACACUGCGUGCAGUGGCAUCUGCACCGCCAAACCUCCUGCAUGCCAGUCAUGCAAGUACACGUCCUUCCUUACAUGCGGUGGCACAUGCUACGGCCCCUGUGCCCACUUCUGCUAAAGCCUAUAGUGGCUGUAAGCUGUCUGUGUGUGUUGGUACCUCGUUGUUGCUAAGCCAUGUAAAUAAGUGAACAAAUGCUAUUGCUCUGUGCAUAUGGCAAAUGUUCCUUCGUUUUAUUGUUCCCCUUUGUUUCAACCAUCAGUAAAUAUACAUGUAUGUGUGCAAGUCAUGUACUCCUAUAUAUGCUUUCUGCUUCUUUCUAUCAUGUUUCUGACCUGCUCAUGCUGGGGUGGAUAUCAGGUGAUACCACCUAUUACAUGCUCCCAUGCUAAAAAAAUUAAAAAGUCAUAGUUAGAUGUUUCAAAAAAAUUGAAAACAAUUAUGGAUGUUCACAAGACAUACGCCUAUAACCCCUAAAAAUUCAGAUCAAAAUUCGAAAUAUACAUUGAGAAACAAAAAGACAAAUCUAUAUGUCAUGUUUUGUCUUCUUUUACACUAUUCAUUCUAGAUUUUUCAUUUUUGUUUCUCAAUAGGUAUCUCAAAUUUGGGUCAGACUCUUUUAGGGGUCGUAGUCAUAUGUCUUGUGAACAUCUACAAAGUUUUUCAGAACAUCUAAAUGUGAUUGAUAGCUAGCAUAAAUAUCCAUCCAUGAUAGAUCCUUCUUCCUUCCACUCCGCCAUCAUGGAUUGGACUUGGCUUUGGCUUUGGGGCUGGUUCAUCUGAAGUGCUCCCAGACAUAGAGCUCUGACCUAUUUUCCUAAGAAAUUGGACCAAUGUUUUCAUACUGACGAAUUUAGGAAUAGUUCUGCUGCAUUUUGUUCAUUGAUAUAUACGGAUAGGGCAGUGUAUAAGUGGAGUACUUCGCUGAUGCCAGCAAGUUAGUAACCAUCACUUACACGCGUUAACAAAUUCUUCUGUAACAAGUAGUUUAAUAUCAUUCACAAAUUAAUGUCAAGUGGUAGUAGCUUCUUCUAAUAAUGUCAACUCCAUUCACCAAUCAUUCAGGAUCAUGACAAAUCAAAGAAGGUUCCACACCUUCAUAAAUUUGGCGCCACCUUUUACCGAUUAUAAAGAUCCAAAUUUCAGCGAUUGUGUUGUGGAUGCUCUUAAUCUUGUAUUGUUUCAUCCAUUGACACACCCAUUCCGUAAAUGAAACGAUUGAAACAACUUUUAAUAUUAGAGUUAGUGAUGACAAAUUCAUGAAAUUUAUUUUUUAGGGUGUUUUAAAAUAAAAAACAAUGUGUCCUUACCUGAGCAUUUUUAAGUGAUUUUGGGAAGUGAAAUCACACAAGAACACUGUGUGAGAGCCGAAAAUAAAAAAGAAAUGUAAAAGAGUUAGUACAUCGGGCCUGCGUGACCAUCUCCAUGGUACAGCUAGGCUACUGCUGGAGAACGUUUCCCACAGCGCUUACAAGCCCUAAUAUCUACUCCUCCAUCCAGAAUUACUUGUCGCAUAAAUAGAUGGAAAUGAAUGUAUCUAGAAUUAAAAUACAUCUACAGACAUGCAUUCUUCCGACAAAUAUUUUCGGACGGAGGGUGUAUCUUGGGCCAGUGACCAGCAACAUCAGAUAGCAUUAGUUAUCUUCUCUCCUUUCCAUAAAGGGAGGAAUGAUCGGGCCAAGGUCGCCUAAUUUUGCCAUGGCCUCUAGCCAACCACCCCAUCGGGCGUAGCCAAGCCAUGAACGCUUCUCUUCUCUCUUACCGGAGCCUGAUUUUUAGGCUAAGUAUCGUAACUAGUAUCAGACAUGCCGAUUAUGCAAUUUUAAUGAGGUGGCAUAGAAAUCUAUAAUACUAUGCAUUACGGAGGUAGUAUCAUACACUAGCAUAUGAUACUAAUAUAUGAUACUCCCCACUACAACCAGCCUAAGUAAUCAGGUGCUCCAAAGUGAAAAUGUGUGUCUAGUGUGCAUAAUAAAGUGCCUAGGUGGACAAUACAUGCAUGUCCAUCCUUGGGCAGCAUAGCAGCCAACCCUACCCUACCACAUGCUGGCAAUUGUUUAUUAUGUUGAUCUCAUGUCAGUGUGGCCAUGCGAGUGUUAAUUAAGUAUUACUAAUACUUGUCGUUCAAACGGAUGUAUUUAGAAACAAAGUGAGACCUUCAUCUCGUGAGAAAGACCGCCGAUGGCUACCGGCCAUCGCCCUCGCGCCAGGAAGAGUACGUUGCCGUGCAGUCCGCCGACGUGGAAGACAAGUUUAUCAAGUUUAUCAAUUCUACUUGCAUAUAGUACUCCCUCUGUUUUUAUUUAGUUCGCAUAUUAGCUUUGGUCAAAGUCAAACUUUACAAACUUUCAUCAAGUUUAUUAACAAAAAUAUUAUGAUAUACAAUAACAAAUCAACAAUAUUAGAUUUAUUAUUGGAUGUACUUUCACCUCGAAUAGAUUUAUUAUGAUAAAUGUCUAUAUUGUUUUCUAUAGACUUGGUCAAACUUUACGAAGUUUGAUUUUAGUCAACUCUAAUAUGCGGAGUAAAUAAAAAUGAAGGGAGUAUAUUGUCUAAUAAGUAAUAACCUUCGUAAGGAAUUGCGCGGAUCCAAGGACACCAUCUUAAUUAGCAUACUACUAAGAUUCGAAGAUAUAUGCUAUGCAUAUUAGAUUCGCCUCAAGUCAAACUUUAUAAAUUUUGAUCAACUUCGUCCAAAAAAUUGUGAACAUCCACAAUAUGAAAUCAACAUCACUAAAUGCCGGCCUAGAGAGACACGAGAGCUUCUACGUGGCAUGCCAUCAACCUUCAACCCGGGUAGUGCGAAGUCAACCGCUCGAGCUGAUUCCAUCCAUGCACGCAUCAGGCCGACCUCCAACCGGGAUAGAUGCCCUUAAGGCAUAUACAAUGGUACUAUCUUAGAAAUGUCAUGUAGGAUAAUUACUAGGAUAAAGGAAAGAAAAACAAAUAAAAAAAGUGUUCCAUUUCUCUUACUUAUGAGAUGAUCUGUUAGCCCCAUAUCUUUUACCAUUACUCCUUGCAUAUGAGAAUAUAUUUUUAUUGCGGAUAAAACUAAGAGAUACCCCAUUCUACCCGUGAUUUUAUUAUCAUCUCUAAACUACAUGGUAGGCUUCAAAGAUAAAAUUGUUUUUUCAACCAUUGUACAUGCCUUUAGUAGGUUUUUGGCUGGGGUACCAAGUAUAGUUUUUCAAGAAAAGUCUCCUUCCUCCUUCCGCCAGCGCUGCUGCCGAUCCGCCCCACCUCCAAUGGCCCUUGGGCCGUGGAGGUGCGGAGGACCUCGGCGGGAGGGACCCCGUUCUCUUUUUCGUUAGGUUCAAUGUCUUGAUUGGAACUGUGUGGCGGUGGCGAUGUCCCUCUGUACAAAUAAUGUCACCCACGUCAUAUCCCUGUCCCAAUGGUGCGGAUAGCAUCGUCGGAGGAUGUGUGGAGGUGUGUCUUCAUCAGAUCUCGUGGAAUUCGGUCGGUGCUAGUCUUCGGUGGAUCUAGUUGGAUCCAGUUUUUGGUUAUCUUCGUUCAUGUGGUUUCAGGUUUGAUCUUUCUGAUCUGCAAGUCUCUUCAUCGGUGAUGGUUGCUGCUCUAGUGCACGGUUCUUUUGGGGCCUUGGCACGAUGACUUCCUGGUUGUCUACUAUAACAAGGUUUGUCCGGCCCUGGUGAGGCAGGGGCGAUGAUGGCGGCAAGCCUUCGGCUCGUUCCAAUGCUUGUAGUCGUUGGUAGGUGGUUCAUAGGCCUGGUUGUAAUUUUAUUACAUUUUGUGUUCUCUGUAUUGCCAUGAUUGAUGAAUGGAUUGGAAAUUUCUCUCGAGACAAAAAUUAGGUUUUUGGCUAAUAGUGAUAAAUUAUGUGGCAUGCACAUGCGGCGGUACCAUAAUCAAGGUGCCUUCACGUGCUACGUGGAUGGACAUGCAUAGCCCUACCACGUGCUAUUGUUUAAGUUGAGCUCAUGUCAACAAACACACCGCAAAUUAAUCUAGUUGGUCAAACCAAAUCAAUAGAUCGAAGAAGAAAUACAGAGCUAUAACAAUCAUGCAUAAAAGAGUUCGGAGAAAACUCAAAUAAUAUUCAUGAAUAGAUCUGAUCAUAAACUCACAAUUUAUCGGAUCCCAACAAACACACCGCAAAAAAGAAUUACAUCGGAUAGAACUCCAAGAACAUCAAGGAGAACAUUGCAUUGAAGAGCAUCAAGAGAGAAGAAGAUAUCUAGCUACUAACUAUGGACCCGUAGGUCUGUGGUAAACUACUCACGCAUCAUCGGAAGGGCAGCAAGGUUGAUGUAGAUCCCCUCCAUGAUUGAUUCCCCCUGCGGCGGAGUGCCAGAAAAGGUCCCCGGAUGGGAUCUAUCGAGAACAGAGGCUUGCGGCAAUGAAAAAGGUAUUGUGUGGACUCCUUUGUUGGUUUCCCGAUUUUCAAGAAUUUAUAGAAGCAGAGUUAGGUAAAACAAAGCUACGUGGGUCCCACAAGCUACAGGGCGCGCCCUGGUGCCUUGUGGGCUACUGCUCCAUCUUCUCAUCCCCUCCUAAAGCUUCCAGGGUCUCUUGCCAGAAAAAAAAUCUCCAAAAAAAUUUUGUGGCAUUUAGACUUCGUUUGGUACCAAAAAAUAGCAAUUAACACUAGGCACUAAGUUAAUAGGUUAAUCCAAAAAAAUGAUAUAUAGUUGCGUGUAAGUAUAUAUAAAAUAUCCAAGAUUAAUAUUAUAAUACCAUGUAACAAUAAAAAAUUAUAGAUACGUUGAAUACAUAUCAACAGAAAAGGGUUGCGGGAAGGAUAAUGCCGGGAACAUAUUGUGGAAAAGUUUUGCGGGAAAUUGCGGGUGCCGGAAUAAAAUUACGGUCCAAAAUAUGGUUCCAUUCAACCAUUGGCUGAAAAUUUUGGUCUCAUGCAGCUGUCGUCUUAGCCUAAGCCGAUUUGAACUAAUCGGCUUCAGCCUUCUCUAUUAGUACUAAUUGGCUACGGUUAAGAUGCUUAGUUCCAAUCGGCUUAGUCUAAGAUGACUAGAGCUAGUCGGCUUAGGUUAAGCCAACUGGACACUAACCAGCUACGUCGUGGCAGAUUGGAUCUAGUCGGCUUAACCUAAGCCGAUGCUGGAUUAUUUUUAUAAUAUACAAACCGUGUAUUACUUUCCAAAUUGAUUACAAAUAUAUCAUUUUAAAAAAUUAGCCUCAUUCUACCCUCAUGUUUAGGAUUUCGUUCAUUCCAGAUUGUCUUGAUAUUUUUCUUCGGUUCACACCGUCGUAUUAAAUGACAAAAACGGUCCCAAUAAUUUGGUCAUAAACAUGGGGGCGGAAUGUGUUUCCAUCUUGAAGAUGUAUGUCCUUAAGGCGUAUACAAUAGUACUAUCUCAAAAGUGACACAUAGGAUAAUAACUAGGGUGAAGGAAAGANNNNNNNNNNNNNNNNNNNNNNNNNNNNNNNNNNNNNNNNNNNNNNNNNNNNNNNNNNNNNNNNNNNNNNNNNNNNNNNNNNNNNNNNNNNNNNNNNNNNNNNNNNNNNNNNNNNNNNNNNNNNNNNNNNNNNNNNNNNNNNNNNNNNNNNNNNNNNNNNNNNNNNNNNNNNNNNNNNNNNNNNNNNNNNNNNNNNNNNNNNNNNNNNNNNNNNNNNNNNNNNNNNNNNNNNNNNNNNNNNNNNNNNNNNNNNNNNNNNNNNNNNNNNNNNNNNNNNNNNNNNNNNNNNNNNNNNNNNNNNNGCUCGCCUACUAGCGGGGAUCCAUCCGACGGCGCUGCAAGAUCCGGUGUGGUGGGCCUCUUCGCCGGCGUCGGGGGGUGGAUCCGGGGCUGCUCAGGCCGGAUCCGGCGCGUGGUGGUGCGGUGCUGAUGGCGGCGGGAUCGAGCGCGCGAGGUCCUGCUGGUCCGAUGUCUCGUGGCGGCUCGUCAUGGCUCUGUGGUGGGCGCUGGCUGGAGGAGGAGAUGCCCGACGCAGCUGGCUGGUGAUGGCGUGUCGCUGUGAAGCGCGCAGGCCGGUGGCGGCUUGGUGCUCCUCGCCGCGGAGGCGCUCGAGCCAGGCCAGAUCUGCGCUGGCUGGAGGUGAGGGCUCAUGGCCGGCGCACGACAGGUGAGGUGGUGAUGCGGAGGGCCUGACGGGGUGUGGCAGAGGAGAUGUGGCUCGAUUUGGUGGGGGCGGCGCCAGCGGGAGGCAGUGCUGGGUUCUCACGGGCAGGUUGGUGGCGCGCUGUGAUGGCUCCGUCAAGAUGGAGCCUUGCGAGCAGCGAGCGGUCGGUCAUCCCUGUGCGGCGUGGCGAGCGGCGGUGCUUUCCUGGUGAUGCCGGCCUGGGAUUUCUCCGUGGAGAGGCGGGUCUGAUUGUCGCAAGGCCGUUCCUUGGAGUGGGUGACGGCCGUCGCGGGCAGUCCUGGACCUGGCCGGAGGUGUUGGUUGGCUGCGGACCCUCGUGCAGGCUGGGAGUGGAUGGUGUGGCCGUGGUUUCCCUGCCGGGUAGUCGGUCGUUGGUCCUCGGCUAUGCAGCUACUUCGGCAAGUGCUGCGGUGGCGGCGGUGUGAGGCUUCUUGGCAGUGCUACCAAUCCCAUGGAGGCGUGGCGAUGUGCGAAGCGCGGAUGAAAAUUUUGCACGGCUUCUGCCGGGCCGGCGGUGAUGGCACCUGUGGAUGUCAUUCCCCUCCUUGGAGGCAUCGUCGAGUUUGUUCGCCCCAUCCCUCGCGCUCUCGGUGUUGGUGGAUGUCUCCGGGUGAAAGCCUAGAUUCGAUGUUCGGAUCGACACGAUGGCGGUGUCCUCGACGCCGCUCCUCUGUUGGGAGCAUUGUGUUUGGAGACAUGACUGGUUCCUCGUUGCUCUCCUCCGGUGUUCGCCGCUAUCCUUUUCUGAUCUUCAGUGGCGCUAUGUACGUUGGUCGACGGUGAAUCCAAGGCGGUGUCUUCCCGGAUUGGAUCGAGUCCUGCCAUUCAUCUGCCACUUUCUCUUAGGCGCUCAGGGUGGAUGGUGCGUCGACAAGAGAAGUUCUGCGGAAGUGUGGUCUUCGGAGGUGUCCGGCGUCGGUCAGAGACGCGGUGCUGUGUAUCAGUUUAGGAUAGGCUUUUUGCUUUGUAGCUUGCCUAGCGGUGGUGUUUGUUUGUGGUCUUGUCGGUGUGGUGUUCGUGCUACACUCGUUGUUCGCAUCGCUUUCUUGUAACUAAAUCCUGCCUUCUAUAAAGCUAUGGUACGCCUAGGCGUACUCUCAAAAAAAAAGAAAGAGAAACAAAUAAAAAAAUGUUCCAUUUCUCUUAAUUAAAAGAUGGUCUCUCAGCACGAUUUUUGUUACCAUAUACUCCUUGUAUUUAAGAAUGUUUUUUUAUUAAAGACAAAACUAGAUGAUAAUCCAUUAUAUCCACGUGAUUUUAAGUUGGUUUUUGCCUAAUAGUGCAUGGCAUGCACAUGCGGACCAUCAUGAAGCCAUGAAGGUGCCCCCUCUGGAUGAACAUGCAUGUCCUUGGGCUGGGCAGCAGCGUGCUACUGAUACUUGUUUAAGCUGAGCGUCAUCUGAGUGUGGCCAUCAGGCAACAAGAGAGAAGACCACCGAGAUCUGCCGAUGCCCGCCGUCGCGCCCGCGCCGGAGGACCAUGUGGCCGCGGACGCCACCAAGCUCGUCGCCCUCCACUUGGAAGACGAUGAGCGGCAAGGGGGCUGCUGCUGCUGCUGCGG
This 83000-nucleotide long non-coding RNA is filed under the name Triticum aestivum (bread wheat). RNAcentral describes it as "long non-coding RNA (TAES_LNC028401)". The stretch from base 4376 to 4506 matches the Rfam family "MIR1120/MIR1122 microRNA precursor family". Lineage: Eukaryota; Viridiplantae; Streptophyta; Magnoliopsida; Poales; Poaceae. The record is from RNAcentral.